UCGGAUUUGGAACUCUUUGCAAUGAAGUGCAACCAUCUAACAUUAGGCCUUGUACACUUGAUGGAAGCUGAGGCAAUGUUUCAAGCUUACUACAACCCAUCAAUUGGAGACAAUAAAGCUUGGUAAGUUGACUAAGAUUCGCAGGUAGGCUGACGAAAUUGUUAUGACUAAGAAUCAGUUCUUCUAAUGAGGAUAAGCAACAUAUAUCACUAGGAAGAUCCCCUUCACAAAGAUUCAUGCCACUUAUAUUCAACUCUCUUAAAGAACUCAAGCUUGAUAAACAAGGUAACGUCAGAGCCAUGAAAUUCGAACCUUUUUUUAAAAGCAUGGGAUUCAAACUUGAUAGUAGUACUUCGCAUCCCUUCUUAUAUAUCCUUUGUAGGAAGGAUGGUGGUGAAUUUUCAAGUACAGAGCAGCCCGAGAGAUUAAGAACUUUUAAGCUGCUGAGAUUUCCAACUGAAGAAGGAAGUUCUUCCAUACUUGUGCCAUCUAAAUGGAGCUCCUGCAAAUGUUCCAUUUUUUCGACAAUCUCUGAAAUCCCUUUAAGAUUCUUGCAGCCUGAAAGAAUCAAUGUUUCAAGAGACUCCAUUUCAUUAUUGAUUGAGAAACUCCUAAGACUUACACAGUUUCUUAAAUUCAAAAGUUUAAGCUUGGCUAAAAAUGCGAUGGAUGGAUGGACAUGUACUAAGUUGGUGCAGCCUCCCAAAUUCAGACUUUCCAAAUUUUCGAUCCUUGUGAAGUCUGGUGUUCUGAUCAGCUUUCGUGAGCCUUGGAGGUCUAUGAAUUUCAAUUUAUUUAAAAGCUGUCAAAGAAAGAAUAAAAAGAAAAAAAAAGUUAUUUUGUAACGAUAUAAUUGAAAUUAUUGGUAAUUUAUGAGAAGAUAAGUUAAAAAGUCAACAUUAAAUAAAGUAAUUCUUACUCUGUCUCGGUUCCAUAGUUGUUCAAUGCAGCUAUUAGGUAGGCGAAGUGCAACAAGGUUGUCUGGUUGGAAGUCCCAAGGCAAUGAUUUUAAAGGCCAUCCAAACCACUCAAAAUGUCGUAACUCACUAGAAAGAUAUGUGAGAUCACAAAAUUUUAGGAGAUCAUGAACCAUGAGCAAUCUUAGUUUUUUCAUCUUCGACAAGGCGUCAGCAUUUAAGAUGAAAGUCUUAUUUUGUUCCCUAAUAAACGAAAAACAAGGGCAAAAACACAAAUGAGCUUCAUAACAUGCUAGAGCAAUCCAACAAACUACAAAGCUAGAGUAUAUGCUCAUGAACUUGAGUUUCAUCUUGCAACAAAAAAAUAUUAAAGUCUUCAAAUUUAUUGAUUUCUAAUGCAAUCAAUAUAUGUGUCUCGCAUUCGUAUUUCUUGUCCACAUUCAAUCAAAAUUCUUUCUAUAUCAACUUGAUUGUUAUGGUUUUUCCUUUUCGUAUUUUGGUACCAUUAAUUAUUGUACUAACAAUAUAUCAUCAAAAUCAAUAACCAAUAGGUUAAUAUCCACUUUUAGGUAAAGUCAUUCCAAAUUUUUAUUUUAGAAAUUGGUUUAAUGGAUACAUGAAUAUUUCUUUAGUUACCUAUGUAUCUUUACAAUCUCCACAAAUAUUGUAACCCAGUACUUUUACAUAAAAUGAAAAUUAACAUAAUAUCUUUAAAUAAAUAAAACAUGUUUGGCAUAUCCAUUCCAUACUACUUCAAUUGACUGCCAUUUAUGAAGCCCUCGGUAGGCUUAGUAGGCUACCAUUUGACAGCUAAGAAUAAUUUAGAGGAAAAAAUCCUUAUUAAAUAAAAAUAAAUUAAAAGUGUGGCAUAUACAAUAUAUAAACUUAAUUAAAUAAAGUAAAAAUAUGAUCAAAAAUAUAUUUAAAAUUAAUUUUUAUAUAGUUAAACAAAAGUAUAUAUGGAUAUUUAAAUAAAAGGAAUAUCAAUCAAUUAUUAAUUUCAUGAAACUAAUUGAUAAAAUGUUUAAUUAAUAUUAAUAGUUAUAAUGUAAAUGUUAAAAUUGAUUUCAUUUCUUUUAUUUUCUUGUAAAGAAAACUAAUUAUUUUAUUUUUACAAGGUAAAUGUAAUAUGCUUAUAUGUUUAUUUAAAUAAUUAUAAAAACAUUUUAUUUCAUACCGUUACUUUUAUAUAUAAUUUCAGAAAAGAAAUAAAUGAAAGUUGAAAAUGUGUAACAUAAAACUAUUAUACUUAAUAAAAUAAAUUAAAAUAGGAUUAAAUAAUACAUUUGAAAUGUUUAUUUAAUUUUAUACGCAGUAUACUAUAUUUUAUAAGAAGUAAUGUAAUGCAUGAGAAUUAUAUUCAUUAAGAAUAAAAUAGUUAAUUUAAUAAAUUAUAAAACAAUAAAUAUGUUGUUUACUAUUUAUAUUUUUGAAAUUUAAGUUUUUAUAAUUAAUAAAGAUAAAGAUAAAAGGAGAUAUAUAUUUGUACCCCAUAGUGCUGUUGAUGACCAUGCCUUCAAUCGCUUCUGUACCCUAAACAUCAAGAGCAUCAUAAGGCUUUACACAAAGAAGAUGGAUAAUUUACCAAGAUAUGUAGAGAGUAAAAUAAGUAUACUCUUUAUGAAAUACUAACCGAGUUUUGUGUUAGCACUUGAUAAACAUCACUUUCCUCAGACAAUCUACAUCGUUUGCCAGGUUCAUCAGGAGACUUUUGUUGAACAAUAUAUCUUCCCAUCUCUUGUAGCAAAUCAUGCAUCCAAAUUUUGUUGUUUUUAACUGUUAUAAGAGAUCUCUCGAUCAGAACAUGUAGUCCAAUACCUGGACUAUACCCACAGCCAUCCAAUAUUUUUGUUACAAAAUCUCUGUGCCACCCUUUGAAGAAAUGUGCGAUAUCUAAAAAUAUUUUCUUCUGUGUUUCCGAUAAUCCAUCAAAACUUAUUUUAAGACAAUUGUUAAUUUCUUUGUCAGGCUCACUUUUCAGGCUUUCUAUGGCAUGUCUCCAUUGAUCUGCAUCUCUACCACAUAGAAAAGAGCCCAAAACAUCAAGAGCUAAUGGAAGGCCACCAGCAUAUUUCACAACACUUUGGGAAAGCGACAUGAAAUCAUCUUUUGGUGUAUCACUUUUAAAAGCUUUCAAACUUAAAAGCCGUAGGGCUUCAAAGUCAUGCAAUGUUGUAGGCUUAUACACAUCAUCCACUCUGUAGCUUCGCAACAACAGACGCUCAUCUCUAGAUGUUAUGAUGAUUCUGCUCCCUAAACCAAACCAAUCGCGCUUUUCAGCCAAGCAUCUGAAAUGCUGCAUGUUAUCCGCAUCAUCAAUAACAACAAGAACCUUUUUAUGACGUAGCCUACGACUUAUAGUUUCAAUUCCGUCAUAAACACUGGAAAACUGAAAAUUUUCUCCAGGAAAUAUGUUAGAAAGAAGCUGUUCUUGUAAAGAAACAAGUCCGAAUUUCAUUGCAACUUCUCGAACACCAGCAAGAAAGCAUUUACCUUCAAAAUAACCAGACAUCUGGGUAUAAACAACACUUGCAAGAGCUGAUUUACCUAUGCCACCCAUUCCACAAAUUCCUACAAUGCGGAUAUCACGAUCUUCCCCAAAAUCUAUUUUGUCACACAACUUAUCCAAACGUGAAUCAAUUCCAAUCAAGUCAUUAGGAACACUUGAACGUGUUUGACAUAACUUUGUUGAUAUCUUUUUAAUGAUGAGUCCAAUGAAUUCUGAUUCAUACCUAUAAACUCAAAAGGUCAAAUAAACAUCUUGAAUGAGAAAGCAUAAAUUACUAUUUGAUUAUAUUCUACUAGAAUUUUGCACAGCGCACAUUGCAAACAAUAGUCUUUCUUAUAUUUUUUUCAAAAUAAUAAUCUUUCUUUAACUCAUUUCUUGUUUAAAGGUUAGAAAUCUGAACUCAUAACAAUGAUAUCAGAACUUAUACAAGUCUUCACAAGUUAGAGAUCCUUAACAGAUAGAUGCUAAGAAAUUGAGGUAGAACCGAACCAAAAUGAAUCCCUCUUUUAUGUGCUAUUAUUUUUAUGUUACACAUUUUCUGUCAAACCCUGCUUUGUAAAAUAAUUAUAAUGUCAUUCACAUGCUCGAUAGAAUGUUUGUAUAUUUAGGAAGCUCGAAAAAUCGUUAAAAGAUGAUAUUGCCCCUAAUGGUACUAUUGAGUCGAUUAAGCCUCGAACUAGUUCAAAUAGGAAUUUUAAAGUGAAAUUAAGAGUUUCACAGUUCAGGGAUGACUCAAAAUGGUAAUUUGGAGUUCGAGGAUCAAUUCGAAGUCAAAUAGAAAUUUUCACUCUUUAGGGACAAAAUCGUAAUUUUUCCAUCCACGGACAAAUUUUGAGAUUUUGAGAGAAUUUAGAUCACAUUUGACAAAUUGGAGAAUGGUAUGAGUAUAAGGGAUGAAAAAUAUGUCUAUGGGCAAUUUUUCAGUUUUUGGGGUAAAAACGUAAUUUUUCACUUUACGGGGGUAAAAGUGUAAUUUUUAAAAUUUUACUCCACCAAAACUUUGGAAAAGUCUAGAAAUUUCAUUGAAGACAUGAAUAAGUGAAGAGGAUUGAGUGGUAGAAAAAGAAAGUCAAAAAGAUGGCUAGAAAAAAUAAAAUAAUAAAAUAUUCAAAAAAUAAAUAAAAUAAUAAUAUUUUAUUAAGCCUAUUAAAAGGCUUGAAAAUUUCAGAAUUCUUCAUUGGGAGGGUCAGCCAAAACCAGAAGGAGAGAGAGAGAAAUAAGAACAAACCCUAGAGUGAGAAAAUUCAAAGAAAAAGUGUGAUUUUUCAAGCUUAGCUUAAGAUUUAUCAUUUCCAUGCAUUUUUCCUUAUUUUCCAUGGUUAAAUUAUGUGUUUUGAUGAUGGAUUCAAAUCUGAUCAUAUGGGUUUAGAGAGAGAAAGUUGUUAGAUUAAAUUGAUUUUGAAUUAUGUUAGUGUUUAGUGUUAGUUUAGCAUGUUUAUGAGUAAAACAACAAGAAAAAUAUUCAUUUUCUCCAUGAAUUUCUCUAGGCCGAAUCUAGCCAAUGGUAUGUGAGGAUGAGGUUGACUUUAUUUUAAGAGAAUUAGAUGAUGAAUUAUGAGGUUGGAAUUAAUGGGAAUUUUGGUGCAAAAAAUUGAAAUUUCCACCCACUAGGGGUAAAAGCGUAAUUUGUGGUCCGAACUGAUAAAUUGGACCACAUUCACAGUCAUUGAGGUAUUGUGGAUAUAAUUGGACAAUUGAAAUUGAAAUAGAUGGAAUUGGAGUUGAAUUGGAGAUUUUAGAAAUUUACACCGUGUAUAGGCGAGUUAGGUCGGAUACUGUGAUUAAGCGAUUGUCCAAAUAUUUCACACCCUAUCUAGUGCAUACGCAUGGAUAAGAGCCUGAAAUAAUAUAUAUUGAUUUGACACAAAUUAUUGAAUUUUUUGUGUCAUGUAUUGUGGAUAGGUGGUGAGCUAUCUGAUACGGGUAAAAGACUACACCCGAGGAUCGAGAAUAAGAGUAUAUCUACUCCUAGUACAGUGAGUAAACUUACUAUCGUCUUAAUUAUCUAGAGUAGAUUUAUUUAAUUGUGUGAUUUUAUGAAAAAAUGGUUUAAUUGGAAAAUUAUUGUGUUUUAUGGGAAAAUGAGAUUUUAUAAAAUAAUUUUAUAAAAUUUUUGAAAAUUUAAUAAUGAUUUCAAAAAUAGAGUAAUUGGAGACCUAUACUAUGAUUGUGUUGUUUAUCCAUGAUUUUACAUUAAAUGGCUUAUGAUAAAUGUGGGUAUGACUGGUUAUUUUUAUGAUUUAAAGAAUAUGUGAACUGCUUUGAUUUGCCUUGAAUGUGUUAAGUGAGCCAUGUCAUACUAUUGUGAUUUUAUUGGUUGGUGGAUUAUAAAGUGGGCACUGCAGUGACGGGGGUUCCGUGGGCCAGCCUAAUUAGAGGGGCACGGUUCCCAAUUAUUGAGCUUACCUCGAUUGGAGAGGCGCGUAGGAUAACUCCCGAGGUAGGAUUUGAGUACACUUCACGCUGGCCACCACGUGAAAUUGGGACUCAGCCAACGCCAAGGAACGGCUGUGUUGUCAGAGGUGAAAUGUGUUUGUGUGUGUGACAAUAAACAGCCUUGGCGGUCUCGGUAAGAUGCUUUCGCGAGGUAUCCCCGAGAAUGGAUUUUUGGCAAGGGCCAAGUUUUUGAAAAGUGCAUAAGCCAUGUUGAGUAAUUAGAUGAAAUCCAAUUAUUUAUAUGGGUUGAGAUGAAUUAUUUUAAUUGUCUCCUAUUACUCGGCUUUAGAUUAUUUUGAUGAUGUCUGUCUACUCACUGGGAUUUUAUAAUCUCACCCCUUCUUCCUAUACAUUUUUCAGGCUCAGAAUAGGCAGUAGACUGUCAAUUGCAUCGAGAAGUAAAUUUCGGAGUUGCAUCCUAGAAAGCAAGGUUAUAGACUUAAACCUUCUCAGUUAUUUGGGGGCCCACGUGUCAUUGUAAUUUAAAUUGCAUACUCUAGUUUUCUAUAUUAUAGUAUGUAUAAAUUUAUUUUAUUUUUAUGUGCAGAAAAUUAAUUUUUUUUGUUGUUUCAAAAAUAUACAUAUAUAUAUAUAUAUUGUUUUACAUGAAAAUAGAUUAUUUUAAUUAAUAUUUUUAGUUUAUUUUAUUAUUCAAAAAAAAAAAAAGAAAAGGAAAGAGAGAGAGGAAUGGAAAAACUGGUACAAAAGCCUUGCGAGGUCUCGAAAGGCGUUCGGGGGAAGAAUGUCUAUCGAGGCUUCGCGGCGGUUGUCACGGGCUCGAUGGGAGUUCCGGGUCGUGACAAUUCGAUUGGUAUCAGAGCUUUUGGUUAACAAAGCAUGGUUUUAAAGUUUUUGAUUUUUAUAGUUAUUUUAAGAAUUCACACUAGCACUGUGUGGCCCCGGGUUGAGUUAAACUAGGUUAAGUUAAGUUGGGUUAGGUAGAGUUGCAUGUAUGUAGAGUUUGAGAUUACUUAAACUUGCCUCGUUUCCUUUUUAGAUUACCAUGCCUCCUCGACGUGAGCGCCCACUCCCUACUAGAUCAGCUAGGAGGGGCAGAGGUCGUCUUAGGCAGGGUCAGCCAGACCUUAGAGGAGAGGAAUCGACUGUGUCUCCUUUUCGAGCAACACUUGCUGCUGAACCGGUAGAGAUUCCUCCGCCACCUACUGGCAUUCCUGCCGUGUCUUCUGAGGUAAUCCAGGCAAUGGCAGCCUUCUUUACCGCAAUGGCUGGUCAAGCUCAGACUAGUCAGGUCCCACCUGUAGUGCCACCAGUUACUCCUUCAGUUCCAUUGGCACAUGAUGUCUCUAUUUCUAAAAAGCUGAAGGAGGCUAGACAACUGGGUUGCGUGUCCUUUGUGGGUGAGUUGGACGCCACCGCAGCUAAGGAUUGGAUUAAUCAGGUUUCAGAGACACUCUCUGAUAUGAGAUUGGAGGAUGAGAUGAAGCUGAUAGUGGCUACGAGGUUAUUGGAGAAGAGAGCCCGUACAUGGUGGAAUUCGGUGAAGUCCCGUUCCACUAUUCUCCUAACUUGGUCAGACUUUCUGAGGGAAUUUGAUAGUCAAUAUUAUACCCAUUUCCAUCAAAAAGAGAAGAAGAGAGAAUUUUUGAGUCUGAAGCAGGGGAAUUUAACUGUAGAAGAGUAUGAGACUCAAUUUAACGAGCUGUUGUCUUAUGUGCCUGAUUUAGUGAGGACUGAACAGGAUCAGGCCGAUUAUUUCGAGGAAGGGCUCCGCAAUGAGAUAAGAGAGCGAAUGACUGUGACAGGUAGGGAGCCCCAUAAAGAGGUAGUACAAAUGGCCUUAAGGGCUGAGAAGCUCGCAAAUGAAAAUAGGAGAAUGCGAGCUGAGUUGGCAAAAAGGAAAAAUCCGAAUAUGUCCUCUAGUCAGCCACUAAAGAGGAGCAAAGGCUCAUUUGUUUCAGGGAGUGCUCCUUCUGUUUCGGUAACAUCCUCUCGACCAUCAUUUUCACAAAUGCAGCAGAGGCCUCCGAGAUUCAGCGGAUCUGCAGUGACUACUUCUGAAAAAAGUUUCGGAGGUUUUGAUAGAUGUAGAGAAUGUGGAAGAUUUCAUGGCGGGGUGUGUUGGGGGCCUUUGCGAUGUUUUCAUUGUGGCCAGACGGGUCACUUUAGAACUAAUUGUCCACAGUUAGGACAGGCCACUGUAGCUGCUCUAUCUUCAUCAACUCGUACGGACUUGCAGAUGAGAGAUUCCUCUGGAGCACAACCGAGACAGGGAGUAGCUAUCCGGCCUGAUGUGGAGAGUAACACCCCAGUAUACCCACCUUCCAAACCACUGACUCGUGCGUCAACAAAAGUUUUUACGGUAAUGGAAGAUGAAGCACGAGUCCAACCUAGAGAAAGUGAAUGAAAAGUUAGGUGGAAAUGUAAGAUAAUGAUAAGAGAUGUAAAUACUAAGUUCUGAGAGUGUAAAUAAAGCUUUUAAGAAUAAUAUAAUAAAUGAGUUUAUGUAAAAUAUCGCUAUGGAAUUUUCUUAAUGUAUUGUGGAAAUUGGAGUUCAGAAAUGCAUAAGACAUGAAAGAUGAAUCUUUGAGGCAUUGAUGAGAAUGAAAGUGCAACCCCACAUGUGUAGGGAUUAGUAAUAUGGGUAACUAAAGUGAAGAAUGAUCCUGAGUGGUUCAAGAUUUAAAUUUCAUGUAUGAUGAGUGAUGUAGGUAGAGCAACGAAAAGAACAUCUCAAUAGUUAAAGGAUUGUGGAAGAAUGCUCAAACGAAGGAGAUGACAUGAGAUGUUGAAUAUUGGAUAAAAGCUAAUACCCCUAUCUUUUCUUGGAGUUUGAUAAGUGAAAUUUUGGGGACAAAAUUUUUUUUUAAAGGGGGGUAGUGUUGUCAAACCCUGCUUUGUAAAAUAAUUAUUACGUCAUUUACAUGCUCGAUAGAAUGUUUGUAUAUUUAGGAAGUUCGAGAAAUUGUUAAAAGACGAUAUUGCCCCUAAUGGUACCAUUGAGUCGAUUAAGCCUCGAACUAGUUCAAAUAGGAAUUUUAAGGUGAAAUUAAGAGUUUCACAGUUCAGGGAUGACUCAAAAUGGUAAUUCGGAGUUCGAGGAUCAAUUCGGAGUCAAACCAAAAUUUUCACUAUCUAGGGGCAAAAUCGUAAUUUUUCCACUCACGGAUAAAUUUUGAGAUUUUGAGAGAACUUAGAUCACAUUUGACAAAUUGGAGAAUGGUAUGAGUAUAAGGGAUGAAAAAUAUGUCUAUGGGCAAUUUUUCAGUUUUUGGGGCAAAAAUGUAAUUUUUCACUUUACGGGGGUAAAAGUGUAAUUUUUAAAAAUUUACCCCACCAAAACUUUGGAAAAGUCUAGAAAUUUCAUGGAAGACAUGGAUAAGUGAAGAGGAUUGAGUGGUAGAAAAAUAAAGUCAAAAAGAUGACUAGAAAAAAAUAAAAUAAUAAAAUAUUCAAAAGGUAAAUAAAAUAAUAAUAUUUUAUUAAGCCUAUUAAAAGGCUUGAAAAUUCCAGAAUUAUUCAUUGGGAGGGUCAGCCAAAACCAGCAGGAGAGAGAGAGAAAUAAGAACAAACCCUAGAGUGAGAAAAUUCAAAGAAAAAGUGUGAUUUUUCAAGGAAUCAAGUGUUUAAAGGUAUGAUUUUUCAAGCUUAGCUUAAGAUUUAUCAUUUCCAUGCAUUUCUCCUUAUUUUCCAUGGUUAAAUUAUGUGUUUUGAUGAUGGAUUCAAAUCUGAUCAUAUGGGUUUAGAGAGAGAAAGUUGUUAGAUUAAUUUGAUUUUGAACUAUGUUAGUGUUUAGUGUUAGUUUAGCAUGUUUAUGAGUAAAACAACAAGAAAAAUAUUCAUUUUCUCCAUGAAUUUCUCUAGGCCGAAUCUAGCCAAUGGUGUGUGAGGAUGAGGUUGACUUUAUUUUAAGAGAAUUAGAUGGAAAAAUGAUGAAUUAUGAGGUUGGAAAUUAAAUGGAAAUUUUUGAGUGGGCACUGUAGUGACGGGGGUUCCGUGGGCUAGCCUAAUUAAAGGGGCACGGUUCUCAAUUAUUGAGCUUACCUCGAUUGGAGAGGCGCGUAGGAUAACUCCCGAUGUAGGAUUUGAGUACACUUCACGCUGACCACCAUGUGAAAUUGGGACUCAACCAACGCCAAGGAACGGCUGUGUUGUUAGAGGUGAAAUGUGCUUGUGUGUGUGACAAUAAACAGCCUUGAUGGUCUAGGUAAGAUGCCUUCGCGAGGUAUCCCCGAGAAUGGAUUUUUGGCAAGAGCUAAGUUUUUGAAAAGUGCAUAAGCCAUGUUGAGUAAUUGGAUGAAAUCUAAUUAUUUAUAUGGGUUGGGAUGAAUUAUUUUAAUUGUCUCCUAUUACUCGGUUUUAGAUUAUUUUGAUGAUGUCUGUCUACUCACUGAAAUUUUAUAAUCUCACCCCUUCUUUCUAUACAUUUUUCAGGCUCAGAAUAGGCAGUAGACUGUCAAUUGCAUCGAGAAGUAAAUUUCGGAGUUGCAUCCUAGAAAGCAAGGUUAUAGACUUAAAUUUUCUCAGUUAUUUGGAAGCCCACGUGUCAUUGUAAUUUAAAUUGCAUACUCCAAUUUUCUAUAUUAUAGUAUGUAUAAAUUUAUUUUAUUUUAUGUGCAGAUAAUUAAUUUUUGAUGUUUCAAAUAUAUAUAUAUUGUUUUACAUUAAAAUAGAUAAUUUUAAUUAAUAUUUUUAUUUUACUUUAUUAUUCAAAAAAAAAAAAGAAAGAGAGAGGAAUGAAAAAACUAGUACAAAAGCCUUGCGAGGUCUCAAAAGGCAUUCGGAGGAAGAAUGUCUGUCGAGGUUUCGCGGCGGUUGUCACAGGCUCGACGAGAGUUCUGGAUCGUGACAUUUUCCUUUUUCAUUUCUUUCUUUAUUGACGGCAUAAAAAUAAUAGUAAGAAAUUAAUUAUUUUUUAAUCUAUUUAAAUAAACAUAUAAACAUAUUAUAUGCAACAUAUAAGUAUUAAAUUACCAUACAUAUAUAUAUAUAUAAGGACAAACAAUCUUAUUGGAAGAAGAAAGUACCUAUCCUCUAAAUGCCAUCCACUGAUAUUGGCUGCUUCAGAUAAAGCAUCUCGCCAGCUUUGCGUCUUGUCUUGAUUAUAUCUAUCUUCAUGUUUAGCAAAGGCUUCUUUGACAUUCCCUGUCUGUUUCCGUAAAUCAGAUGGAUCGACAUGAUAGAAAAUAGGGAAAACCUUAUGUCCCCUGUCAUUUUUCUGGUUAAGAAUCUCAACAAGCUCGUCUAGACACCAACUUGAAGAAGCAUACGUUUUUGAAAAAACGAUGAUUGAACACCAUGAUUCUUUAAUUGCUUCAAGGAGCUUUGGUGCGACGUAUUCCCCUUGUUCAAGCUUUUCGUUGUCUCUGAAAGUGUUGAUUCCAUCAUUUUGUAAACGAGCAUAAAGAUGAUCUGUGAAGCCCUUGCGAGUAUCUUCACCUCUAAAGCUCAAAAAAACAUCAUAUUUCCAUCGAGAUAAAGAUGAAGAUGAUGAUGACGACGGAGAGGAAGUCACCAUGGUACUAGAAGGAGGAGGAGGAGGAGGAGGAGGAAGAUUUACCGGGGAAUUAAUCUGGAGAGUAAAUAAUGUUUGAGUGAAAACAUGUUGCUGAAUGGAGUUUGUAGAAAAGCAAAUCGACAUGUCUGAACACUUAGGGCCCCACUGUUGAAUAGCUUUUAGGUGAAUUCUAAAAUUUUGCUUUUUCAGCUACUUCAAUUCCAGAGCAUCGGCGUGGGACCCUACUUUAAACCUGGCCGUGCAAAUUUGAAGAGCAGUAGCGUCACUAGUGCUGUGGUUACAUCAUCAAUGCUGGAAUCUUUGAGAAUCAAAACUUAAGAUGGCUAAGGAAACUGUAUGCUUUUCCAUUGCCAUUUCAUAUUUGUGUGGAAGGAAAUUCUGGCUUCAUUGUAUAUUUCUCUUAAAAAAGUAUUUUAUUCACUAUAUCAGAAAUGUAACCUCAUGCUUGAUUAUGAACCUGCAGGUUGAAAGUCACGAUCUUAUUGCAUAUGGAUUGAUUCCUGAAUUUAUUGGGCGCUUUCCUAUUUUAGUUAGCUUAUCAGGUUUAAAUGAGGAUUAAUUUGUUGAGAUGUGUUUUUCUUUUUAUCUCAUGUGUAUUUUGCGGUAGGGCCUUGGACUAGUAUAUUGCUGUGCAAAGGGUCUUUACCUUUGAUGUAUAGUUCAAAAUAAUUCCACACUUUUAUAUCUGUUUUAAGAAGAUAAAGAAAAUAUGAGAGUUAAUUUCCUUUGAUGUAUGUGGAGUGCACUUAAGGCGAACCCAUAAAUUUUUAUGAGUGGUGUCAACAACUAACAAUUUGAUAAAUUUCUAUUGAUUAAUCAAAAUUAAGUAUAAACAUCCACAAAUCAUAUAGGGUUAAAUAUAAAAAUCAAAUAAUCAAAUAAUAUAUCUAUAAAAUAAAAAAAAAGAAAAAAUCAUAAUUUAAAAAUAUUAUUUCACAUGUAAAUUUGUUUUCUAUUAACUUGAUUUUGUUUGAUUCUCAAAUUAUCAAAUUAAUUAAAAAAAAUUAAAUAUGAAAUAUUUAAAAAUUUAAUUUGAAUUGAAAAUCACUAGAUGGAUUGUUUUAAGAGAGUGAAAAACAUAGUCAAGAAUUGAGGAGAAGAGACUUUACUACAGGUCUCAACAGUAGGAUUAGAAUUUUUUGGAGGGUGAAGGAGAGUAGGUUAAGUUUUAAUUUUUUUUAAUAAAAUCUUAAAUUAUAAUUUUUUUUAUCUUUUAGUAUUUAAAUAUUAAUAUAUAAAUUACUUUUUUAUUGAUCUCUUCCCCACAAAAUUACAAAAAAAAAAAAAUAAGUGAGUUCAUUACUAUCAUUAAUUAUAUAAAACUCUAAUUAAAACUUUAAUUAAGUAAUAUACUUAUAUAGAUUUUUAGGAAUUGAGUGGUGUCAUCUGGCAACACUCCUACAAGGCUGGGUCCACCCAUGUGCACUGUUAAGCAUAUUCCAAUCUUGUUUUAUAUUAGUUCAAAUACGCGUCUUGCAAUCAAACCCUUUAGAGAAGAAAUACAUUUGUUCGUCUUUUUGGCUAGAAUUUUGAACCUUUUUUCCGACAAAUUUGACCCCUUUUUUCCUACCAAUGCGAUCGGGAAUAAGUGGUUGGGAGGAUAGGUUGAAAACUCCUUGAUAUUUCAAUGAAAUGGCAUGAUUUUCUUUGUCAUCAUCUGCCAUCUUUUUUUCACCACUAGCCUUUCUUGCUUAAAUUAUACCAAGUGAGGCAUUAAAAUAUAAGAGGUUGAUAUGUUUUUAGAACAUGGAAAAAGAUGGCUCCAUCGUUCGAAGUGUAAAGUUGGGAGCCUAAUACUUUACUUGUGCACGAUCCAAUUCUUUAAUUACGCAGCAACACUGUGUCUAAUUGCGGGACUAAUCCCUCUAGUUUUGCCUCUUACUGAUUUUGUUUUUAUUCGAGUGCCCCUCAUCACAUUAACUACCCUUUGAAAAUGCAAAGGAAUGUUUUCCUAUCGAAGGACGGAUUCAGUUUCAAAAUUUAAUUGUUCAAUUUUGAAUUACAUUUGUUUGUUUCAUGUAGAGUUUAAUUACACAUAUUUUGGUGCGUAUCAAUCAUGUAAAUGUUGAUAUAAUUAAAUAGCCAUAAGUAUUAAAAAUUAAAAUGAUGUUUUUUUCUGGGCUAUGAAUUAGUUUUUUAUGAGAAUCCAAGGUAAGGGAAUAGUCCUAUAUUUUUUGUCCUACUUAUUUUUUUCUUUGGGUCAAGAAACACUUAUAUGAAGCAAAUCCAAAGGACAUUUUGGCUUAUUGCAAGUUUGAGUUGGGAUUUACCUUUUCAAUUAUAUAAGGAAUUUUCAAAAAAGGGUUGCUUAUUUUGUGCCUGUAUACUCAUGCAUUUGAACAGAUUUCAGACGCCAAGAUGGAAUCUCAUGGUAUAAAUGCAGUUUUGGUUGAUGAAAAAGCUGCUGGAUCAGUGGAUGAAACAGGAUGUGGGGCCAAAAGUCUUUAUGAUGAUGGUGAACUGGACAGGUUUCUUGUGAAAAGAACAGUGAAAGAUUUUGUGGUGCGUUUUCUCCUAAUGCACUUUCUUUGUAAUUGAUGUAGGUUGGUUUAUUGGAAAGAAUAAAAUAAAAAUAAAAUAAUUAUUUUUAAAAAAUAGAAUAAAAAAAGGAUAAUCAUUAUGUAAAUUGAUUUAUGAUAAUAGAAUAUGAUAGAAAUUGCUAUUAUUAAUUAUUUCAUUAUUUGAUUGGUAUGAAUAAUUUUAAGAAUAGUUAAGAAAUAAUGAGUAAAUAAUAAAAAUACCCUUUAUUAAAAUUUAAAAAUUUUUUAAUUAGAAAACAAAAAUACGAUGAUGAGAAAAAAAUAUUUUUUAUUAAAAUUAAAGAAUUUAUUUUGUUAAAAGAUAAAAAUAUUCUAAGUAAUAAAAUCAAAAUAAUUUUUACUUUAAUUAAAUAAUAUUUUCACCAAAAUACAAACAUAUUUUUAUUAUAAUUUAAUAAUAUUUUGUAUUAAAAGAUAAUUAAACCUUUUAUUAUAAUUAAAUAAUAUUUAAUAUUAAAAGACAAAAUAUAUUCUUCAUUAAAUUUAAAUAAUACUAAAUAAUAUUCUUUAUUACAUUUAUUAUAAUCAAAUAAUAAUAUUAAAUAAUAUUCUUUAUAACAUUUAUUCUAGUUAAAUAAACUAUUCUUUAUAACAGUUUAGAAUGUUAUAAACUACAAAAAGACAACAUAAGAUUUGAAUCGAAUUUUUUAAAUAAAGAACACAAACACUUACCAUAAAAAGAAAUACUCAAAUGCACGUUACAACACAGCUUAGGUUUACAUAAUACCUCAAUCACACAAAAGUAUUAAAGCGUGCACAACUUGACUGAAAUGCUCAUGGCAAAGAUAAGAGGAUCAAAACAAUAUCAAAAGGAUUUCACCUUUGUCUUGCUUUUAUAACCUUUUCAACUUGAAAAUAAAGAGGAAAGGAUAUGAAAGCAAAUUAGACUUAUAAGACAUGAUCCUGGAUCUUACAUCUCGAAAUAAAAUGCAAAUAAAUAGAUAAAAAUAGAAUUAAUUAAAGUCCAAUUUUAAUAAGGUAAAAGUUGUGGGGACAAAGAAUUAAAAAGACUAGUGAUUACCUGUUAAUCCAUGAGUAGUAUGCUGAUGGACAUGAUGAAAAGUUGGUGAAGUUGGAGUGCUAGGCUGCUCUAUUGUCAGGUCCAUGUCCUCUAUAUCACUUCGAUACACUAAUCGAGCCCCACACUUCUUCACCUUGGAGCCAAAGCCGGAGAAUUUAAUCUCAAAUAGAUUACAACUCAGAGGUAGCUCAAUAAUAUUGAAAGUUUUAAGUUAAAUAUUUAAAAGAGAUCAUUUUUAUUAAAAUUAAAAAAAAUUAUUAAAAGUUUUAAUUAAAUUUAUAAUUCAAGAAAUCAACUAUCACAUAAAAUAGAGAUAAUAUAAUAAUAUAUUAUAAACUUUAAAUUAAAAUAAAAAAAUCUGUAAAGAUUAAAACAAUAAUAUCUAAUUGUUGAAUGCUUAUUGCAAACAGUAAAUGAGACUUAGGGUUUUAUAAAGAGAAUAACAUAACAAACUUUCAGUAUAUUUUUUGGAGGAAAAUUGAAGGUAAAAAGAAGAUGGAACAAAUGAGGAACGAAGAUGGAGCAAAUGAGGAAAGAAGAAUUCAAAAGUAGAUAUUAUAAAUUGAAUAAAACAAGAUAAUUGUUUUUAUAUAUAUGAAAAAAAAACUGUUGGAUAUCAUUAAAUACAUAUUACCAUUAAUUGAUUAUAAAUAGAGGAAAUAGUUGAAAAAAAAAGCUAUUUGUCAAACCCUGUUCUAUAAAAUAAUUACGACGUCAUUUACAUGCUCAAUAGAAUGUUUGCAUGUUUAGGAAGUUUGAGGAAUCGUUAAAAGACGAUAUUACCUCUAAUGGUACCAUUAAGUCGAUUAAUACUCGAACUAGUUCAAAUAGAAAUUUUGAGGUGAAAUUAAGAGUUUCACAGUUCAUGGAUGACUCAAAAUGAUAAUUCGGAGUUCGAUGAUCAAUUUGGAGUCAAACCGAAAUUUUCACUAUUUAGGGGUAAAAUGGUCAUUUGCCACUUGGGGACAAAAUGAGAAUUUUCAGAAAAGAUUUUUUUUUGGCUCCAUUUAACUUAUUGGAGUAUGAUUUGAGUAUUGAAGUAUAAUUUGAGGGUUUGGGCGUGAAAAAGUUUAAUUUCGAUGAUUUCUGGAGUGUAGGGGCAAAAUCGUAAUUUUUCCACUCGCGGAUAAAAUUUGAGAUUUUGAGAGAAUUUAGAAAAAAUUUGACAAAUUGGAGAAUGGUAUGAGUAUAAGGGAUGAAAAAUAUGUCAAUGGGCAAUUUUUCAGUUUUUGGGGCAAAAAUGUAAUUUUUGACUUUUACGGGGGUAAAAGUGUAAAUUUCAAAAAUUACUCCACCAAGACUUUGGAUAAGUCUGAGAAUUUUAUCUAAGCUAUGGAUAUGUGGGACAAGUGUAUGGUGAAAAUUUGAAAAUAAAUGGAUGGCUAGAAUUUAAGGAAUUAAUAAAACAAAAAAAAUAAAUAAAAUAAUAUUAUAUUAUUUUAGCCUUUAAAAAUGUCAAAAUUUCCAGAAUUCUCAUCUUCUUCAGCUGUCCAAACCAGGAGAGAAAAAGGGGGAAAAGAAAUAAGAACCCUAGCUGAAAACAAUUUGGGGAAAAUCAAGAGAAAUCAAGAAAUCAAGCAUUAAAAAGGUAAAUUUCAUUGAUUUUUCUUGUGAUUUUCACUACCCAUGCAUUUUUUUCUCAUUUCCAUGCAAAAUUAGAAAGUGGGUAUGGACACCCAUGCUGGCCAAACCUCCAUGGAUGAGUUUGGAGCUUGAGUUUUGGUUGAUUUUAAUUGAAUUAAGUGAUUUUAGUUAGGUUAUAUUGAAAUAUAGCAAAAAUAAGCUAGAGAAAUAAUUUUCUCCCAUUGAAACCCAUUAUGCUGAAUUUUCUAGGGGAAUAUUGGCUGCUGAUCUUGAUGUUUAUUUGAGGAAUUAUGAUGAAUAAUGAUGUAUUAAGAGCCUAGAAAAAUAAUGGGAAUUUUAGGAGCAAAAAUAUGAAUUUUUACCUACUAGGGGUAUUUUUGUAAUUUGCUAUCGGGACUGAUAAUUUGCACCACACUGAGGAACAUUAAGUCAAUUUGGGUGCAAUUGAGGUAUAGAAAUUGAAAAAAAUUAAUUUGGAGUUUAAACGGACACGUAUAUUGCUUUAUCGGGUAAAAGACCGAAAUAGGCUAAUAUCUCGUUUAGGUAAAAUUUAGACAUUUGACACUUCAUAUCAUGCAUUAGUAGUAUAAAUUAGUUUAUUUUGGUUUAGUACCAAAGUAGUAAACCUCUUAAUUGUACAAUUCGUCAAGGUGGCGAAUCCUCUAGCUAGGGCAAAGAAAUCGCACUCGAGGAGUAAUAGUUGGAGUACCCGAAUUUAGUUUUCAGAAACAGUGAGUAAACUUAUUAUCGUCUUAAUUAUCUAGAGUAGUUUUAUACAAUUGUGUGAUUUUAUGGAAAAUGGGUUUAAAUGGUAAAUUGCUAUGUUUUAAGAGAAAUUGUGAUUUUAUAAAAUGAUUUUAUAAAUUUUCUGAAAAAUUGAAUACUGGUUUUGAAAAUAGAGUAAUUGGAGACUGCCUGCUUGUGUUGUAAAUUUAUGGUUUUAAAUUGAAUGGCUUAUGAUAAUAAAUGAGCAUGAAUGGCUAAACUGAUUUUGGUGUUAGAAUUAUUUGUAUUGUGUAUUUAGCCUUGAGAGGCUAGAUUGCGAUAAAUUGCCAUGUCAUGCAGAAAAAGAUUUUAUAAAUCAAGUGGUAGAUAAAAGAUUAGCUACUGCAGUGGUGGGGGGUUCCGUGGGUUAGCCUAUUAGAGGGGCACGGUAAACUCCUUUAUAUUCUCACCUUGGUCGUAAAGGCGCAUAGGGUAUCUCUUGAGGUGAGCUUUUUGAGUGCACUUCACGUGGACCAUCGCGUGAGAGUGAGACUCAGCCAACGUCAAGGAACGGCUAUGUUUCAAAAUAAAAAUAUGAUUUAUACGAAAUAUGAAUUUUUAACAGCCUUGGCGGACUCGGUUGGAUACCCCUGGUCCAGGUGUCACCGAGUACAGGAUUUGGAAUGAGCCAAGUUUUGAGUAAUUCACGAGCCAUAUUGAUUAUUUGGUUGAAAUGAAUAUUCGUGAUAUGAAAAAUUUGCUGAAGUUAAUUAUUUUUUAAUUGCCUCCAUUUACUCGCCUUUAGAUAGUUUAGAUAGUGUCUGUUUAUUCAUUGAGAUUUUAUAAUCUCACCACCCUUAAUUCCCCACAUUUCAGGUUCGGGAUAGCCGGUAGAUAGUCGAUUGCAUCAAGGACUUCAGUUAGCCUUGCAUUGACAAAAUUAUAGGUUCACAAACUCGCAUCUUAUUGGUUAGUUGAGGGCCCACGUGUCAUUGUAAAAGUAAUUUUAUACUUUCGUUAUCUGAUUUAAAAUAUGUAUGAACAUAUUUAGCUUUUACACCAUGUUUUUGGUGAGUUUCGGUAUUAUCGAAGAAAAAUGACGAAAAUGCCCCUAUGAGCUAGAAAAUAAUAUUUUAUUAUUUUGAUUUGGAAACGACUUAUAAUUUCUUGAAAUGCAAGAUUUAAUAACUGUCGCUCACCGGGGAGAUGCGAAAACUGAUGCUAAGCCUUGCGGGAUUUUGAUCGGCAUUUGGGGUAAUGAGUGCCUAUCGGGACGUCGCGACGGUUGUCACGGGCCCGAUGGGAGUUCCGGGUCGUGACACUAUUAAAGAUCAUUAAAUAUAUAUUACCAUUACUUGAUUGAAAAUAGGAGAAAUAGUUAAGAAUUAAUAAUAUUGUAAGAAUUGGGAAGUGAUAAAAAAAUAUAGAUUUAUUACGCACAUAAUUAAGAAAGUGGGAAAAUAUAUUAUUUUAUUAAUUAUCUUGAUUUUUAUAUGAAAAAUGAGUUAAAUUGUAAAGCUCGACCUUAUAAAAUACUAGGCAUUACAUACAUGUGAUGAUAGCAUGAUUGCAUGCUAGGAAAGUCCCAAAAAAUUUACAAAAGUCAGUAUUGUACCUAGAGGUACAACAAAGUUGAUUAAAUCUUCGAACUAGAUCAAAUAGGAAUUUUAAGGUGAGAUUAAGAGCGUCAUAGUCCAAAGAUGACUCAAAAUGGUAAUUCGGAGUUUGAGGAUCAAUUUGGAGUCAAAUCGAAAUUUUCACUAUCUAGGGGCAAAAUGGUCAUUUGCCACUUGGGGACAAAAUGAAAAUUUUAGAAAAGACUUUUUUGGCUCCAUUUGACUUAUUGAAGUAUAAUUUGACUUAUUGGAGUAUGAUUUGAGAUUUAGAAGUGAAAAAUUUUAAUUUCGGUAUAAUUUGGAAUAUAGGGGUAAAAAGAUAAUUUUACCACCCUAGGGGCAAAAUUGUAAUUUUCCACCACCAGGAUAUUUUUUCCAGCACAUGGUCUUCCUUUAUUCUGAUUUUUGACCUUUGACUAAUCAUGUGGUGGAGAUGAAAUGUUUCAAUUUUUAAAAUUUUAAAAAUGGACCAAUUAAAAAAUGCCAUGUGUCAAGCCUAGGAUAUUUUAUUAUUUAACUUAAAAAUCAGCCUAAAUCAGCCCAUUACUCUCCAAAUAUUUGGCCAAGCAAGGACGAGAGAGAAAGAGAGGAAGAACAAACCCUAGGUGAGGAAUUUCAAGAGAAAAAGUGUGGAAAAUCAAGGAAAACAAGUGAAAAAGGUAGGAUUUUUCAACUUAAGCUUGAAAUCUAUUUUCCUUAAGCAUUUCUCUUCAUUUUCCAUGCUUAAAUUACAUGUUUUUAUGAUGAAUUGUUGGCUGAUCAAAAUGGGUUAGGAGAGAGAAAGUUGUUGGAUUUAUUUGAUUUUAAUUUAUGUUAGUGUUUUUAGUUAGUUUAGCAUAUUUAGAAACAAAACAACAAGAAAAGAAUUUAUUUUCUCCCCCAACCAUUAAUGGCUGAAUUUACCAUGUAGUGAGUGAGGAUGAGUUUGAUUUUAUUCUAGGAGAAUUGGUUAAGGAAUAAUGAAUUAUGAGCCUAGAAAAAUAAUGGGAAUUUUCGGAGCAAAAAUACGAAUUUUUACCCACUAGGGGUAUUUUCGUAAUUUGCUGUUGGGACUGAUAAUUUGCACCACACUGAGGGACAUUAAGUUAAUUUGGGUGCAAUUGAGGUAUAGAAACUGAAAAGAAUUAAAUUGGAGUUUAAACGGACCCGUUAGGAAUUUAAUCGGGUGAUAAGACGAAUUAGGCCAAUACCGGGUUUAGAUAGUUACCAGUGCAUUUUUGCAUUCCAUAUCAUGCAUUGGUAGUCUAAAUUAGUUUAAUUUUGAUUUAGUACCAACUUGGUGAAACUCUCGAUUUUGUACUGUGUCAAGGUGGUGAGUCCUCCGAUAAAGGCAAGGAAAUUGCAUCCGAGGACCAGUAGACAGAGUGCUUCGAAAGUCUGCAUUCUAGACAUUGUGAGUAAACUUACUGUCAUUUUAAUUAUCUAGGGUGGUUUUUAGAUGCUUUCAUGAAUUCUAUGGAAAAAGGAAUUUAAAAAGAUAAAUUUUCAUGUUUUAUGAAUAAAUGAGUUUCAAUGAAAUUAAAUUAUAAAUUGUUUUGAAAUUAAUAGUGAUUUUGAAAAAUAGAGUACACGGAGACUGUUAAUUGUGGCAAUUUGAUUGUUUAAAUUAACUGGCUUAUGAUAAAUCGAGCAUGAUUGGCUAGUUGGCAAUUGUAUUGAAAUGCGAAUUGUUUGGUUACCUUGAAAAACUACGAAUUACAAAAUUGCCAUAUCAUGUUAUUGAGUUUUAUUAUAUGGUGGAUUAUAUAUUAAUUAAUCACUGCAGUAGGGGGUUUCUGUGGACCAGCCUUUUAGAGGGGCACGGUAAACCCCAUUAUAUUCUUACCUCGAACGGAGAGGCGCGUAGGGUAUCUCCUGGGGUAAAGUUUAGGGUUCACUUCACGCUAAACCACCACGUGAGGGGGAACUCAGCCAACGCCAAGGAACGGCUAUGUUUUCAAAACAAAAACAUGAUUUAUGUGAAAUGUGAAUUUUAAUAGCCUUGGCGGUCUCGGUAGGAUGCCUCGGCCAAGGUGUCCCCGAGAAUGGAUUUAUGGCACAAGCCUAGAUUUUUAUGAGAUUCAUAAGCCUCUUUACGUGUUUUGAACAAAAUGUGUUCUAAUGCUAUAACCCAGUUUAUGAUGAUUUACUUUAUUGUCUCCAUGUACUCAACUCUAGAUGUUUAUGAUGAUGUUUGUUUACUCAUUGGGAUUUUAUAAUCUCACCACCCUCCUUUCCACCCAUUUCAGGUUCAGUAUAGACUGUAGAUAGCUGAUCUCAUCGAGGACUACCGUUGGAUCUGCAUUUUUCAAACCGUAGGUUCACAGUCCUCUUUACUUUUGUAUAUUCAGGGGCCUUUUUGUUAUUGUAAAUUAAAUUAAAUAUUUUGGCUUACUGUAUUUCAGCAUGUAUAAAUUUAUUUAGCCUUUACGCUACAAAAAUUAUUUACGUAUAACUCUAUAAAUAUUGUUUUAUAAGAAAAUAGAAUAUUUUACUUAAAAUUUCUUUUAUUUUCUUAUUAUAUUCAAAUAACCAUAAUUUCAUUUUAAAUGAAGAUUUUAGACUUUUAAACUCAUUUUGAUUAUGAAUUAUGUCUUUUGUACUUGUAUAUUACAUGUUAGCCAGUUUCAAAAUUUUUUAGAAAAAUGGUCAAAAUAUCCCUGUGAGACGAAAAUUAAUAUUUUAUUUGUUUUAAGUUGGAAAAGGUUUAAAAUCUUUUAGAGCACGAUAAUUGACAAUGGUUGCUCACAAAAGAAUAGAAAAACUGAUAGUAAAGCCUUGCAGGGUUUCAGGUUAACAUUUAGGGCAAUGAGUGUCUACCGAGACACCGCGACAGUUGUCACGGGCUCGAGGGGUGUACCGGGUCGUGACAUAAAUAGUUGAGAAUAAAUAAGCAUGUGAAAGAGAGGGAAAAUAAAUAUUUAUUAGACUUGAAUGAUAGGUAUAUAUUUUAAUAAUUAUACUAAUUUUUGUAUUUUUAAUAUAAUUAAUUAUAUUGUUAUUAUAAAAUUAGGAAGCCUACUAAAAAUUUGGGGCCUAAAGCCACCGCUUUGGUUGCUUUACCCUUAAGCCGGCACUGAAGCUCGGGCAAUGUUUCAAGCUUCUUGCAAACCACCAAUUUGAGACGAUGAAUCUUGGUAAGUUGACAAAGAUUUGCAGGUAGGCUGGCGAAACUGUUAUCACUAAGAAUCAGUGUUUCCAAUGAGGGUAAGCAACAUAUAUCACUAGGAAGAGGCCCCUGCAAAAGAUUCCUGUCGCUUAUAUUCAGCUCUGUUAAAGAACUCAAACCUUAUAAACGAGGUAACGUCAAAGCCAUGGGAUUCAAACAUUGUUUGAAAAGCAUGAGAUUCAGACUUGAUGAUAGUACCCCGCGUCUCAUCCUAUACUUCCUCCUUAUGAGGGAUGUUGAUAAAUUUUCAAGUUCAGAGCAGUUAGAAAGAUUAAGAACUUCUAGACUGCCGAGAUGUCCAACAAAAAAGGGUAGUUCUUCAAUGCCUGUCCCAUCUAAAUAGAGCUUCUGCAAACAUUUCAUUUUCCCAUCAAUCUCUGGAAACCUUUGAAGAUACGUGCAGCCUGAAAGAAUCAUUGUUUCCAGAGAUUUCAUUUCAAUUUUGGUUGGAAGACUCUCAAGCCUUUUGCAGUUUCUUAAAUUCAAAUAUUUAAGCUUCACUAGAAAGGCGAUUGAUGGAUGAACAUCUGUAAUUUUAGUACAACCUUCCAAGCUCAAAGUUUUGAGAUUUUUUGGUCAUUGUGAAGUCUGGUGUACUGAUCAGGUUUUGGCAGCCUUUGAGGUUGAGGACUUUGAACUUAUUUAAAGACUAUGGAAGAAACAAUAAAAGGAAACAUAAAUUGUUAUUUUGUGACGACAUUCAAAUUAUUUAUAAUUUCUAAGAAUAUAAGCUAAAAGACCAACAUCAAAUAAACUAUUUCUUACUUUGUUUCCCUCCCAUAGUUGUGCAAUGCAGCUAUUGGGUAAGAGAAGUACGACGAGGUUGUCUGGAUGGAAGGCCCAAGGCAAUGAUUUUAAAGGAUACUUAAGCCAUCCUAAAACACUUAGCUCAUUAGAAAGAUAUACGAGAUCACAAAAUUCUAGGACACCACGGACUAUGAGCAAUCUUAGUUUUUUCAUUUUUAAGAAGGCAUCAGCACUCAAAGUGAAAGUCUCAUUUUGUUACCUAAUAAGAAGAAUAUCAAUCAAUUAUUAAUUUCAUGAUAAUAGACUAAAAAAUCUUUAAUUAAUAUUAAUAAUUAUAACGUAAAUGUUAAAAUUGAUGUUAUUUUUUUAUUUUUAUAUAAUGAAAACUAAUUAUUUUAUUUUUACAUGGUAGAUGUAAUAUGCUUACAUGUUUUAUUUCAAUAGUUAAAAAAUAUAUAAUUGCAUACCAUUACUUUUAUAUUUAUAUAUUUUUGUAAAGAUACAUUACUUUUAUAAAUAAUUUUAGAAAAAAAAAUAAACGAAAGUCGGAAAUGUGUAACAUAAAAAUAAUAUAAUUAAUAAAAUAAAAUAAGAUUAUAUGAUACAUUUGAAAGAGAAAAUUGUGAGAGAAGGACUUCGUGAUAAGGUGAUUUCAGAAAUAACCACACAUAUAAAGUUAUUUGUUUCUAUCUAAAAAUAAACAUGAGUAGACCAAAAUGCCCUUAAAAACAUCGUUUCAAAUAAAUGCUCAACUGUUUAAAAUUCAAGUUUUUAUCGAUGAUAAAGAUAAAGAUAAAAAGAUAUAUAUUUGUACCUUGUAAUACCGUUGAUGACCAUGCCUUCGAUCACUUCCGUCUCCUAAACAUCAUAAGUACCAUAAGGCUUUACACAAAAAAGAUGCCUUCAACAUUUUUUCUUGGGUGGAUAAUUUGUAAGUAGAGAGUAAAAUAAGUAAAUAAUAAAUAUAAUAUAAUCUCUAUGAAAUACUAUCCGAGUUUUGUGUUAGCACAUGAUAUACAUCCUCUUCCUCCGACAGUAUAAAACAUUUGCUAGGUUCAUCCAAAGACUUUGCCAAACAAUAUAUCUUCCCAUUUCUUGUAGCAACUCAUGCAUUCAAAUUCUGUUGUCUUCAACUAUUAUGGGAGAUUUUUUGAUGAGAACAUCUAGUCCAAUAUUGGGGAUUAUACCCAUAACCAGCCAGUAAUUUUGUUACAAAGUCUUUGUCCAAUCCAUUGAAGAAAUGUGCGAUAUCUAGAAAUAUUUUCUUCUCUAUUUCAUCUAAUCCCUCAAGGCUUAUUCGAAGACAAUUUUGAAUAUCAUUAUUAAGAUAUCUUUUAAGUUUAGCUACUGCAGUGGUGGGGGGUUCCGUGGGUCAGCCUAUUAGAGGGGCACGGUAAACUCCUUUAUAUUCUCACCUUGGUCGUAGAGGCGCAUAGAGUAUCUCUUGAGGUGGGCUUUUUGAGUGCACUUCACGUGGACCAUCGCGUGAGAGUGAGACUCAGCCAACGUCAAGGAACGGCUAUGUUUCAAAAUAAAAAUAUGAUUUAUGCGAAAUAUGAAUUUUUAACAGCCUUGGCGGACUCGGUUGGAUACCCCUGGUCCAAGUGUCACCGAGUACAGAAUUUGGCAUGAGCCAAGUUUUGAGUAAUUCACGAGCCAUAUUGAUUAUUUGGUUGAAAUGAAUAUUCGUGAUGUGAAAAAUUUGCUGAAGUUAAUUAUCUUUUAAUUGUCUCUAUUUACUCGCCUUUAGAUAGUUUAGAUGGUGUCUGUUUACUCAUUGGGAUUUUAUAAUCUCACCACUCUCAAUUUUCCAAAUUUCAGGUUUGGGAUAGCUGGUAGAUAGCCGAUUGCAUCAAGGACUUCAGUUAGCCUUGCAUUGUCAAAAUUAUAGGUUCACAGACUCGCAUCUUAUUAGUUAGUUGGGGGCCCACGUGUCAUUGUAAAAGUAAUUUUAUACUUUCGUUAUCUGAUUUAAAAUAUGUAUGAACAUAUUUAGCUUUUACACCAUAUCUUUAACGUUCCCUGUUUGUUUUCGCAAGUCAGAUGGAUCGACAUGAUAAAAAACUGAAAAAACCUUAUGUCUCCUCUCUUUUCUCUGUUUAAGAAUCUCAACAAGCUCAUGUUGAAAAAUUUUAAAUCCAUAAAAGUCGGUCAAUUUCAAUUUUAUUUAAAAUUUUUAAAAAAUUUUGUGCAAAAUACUUCCUAAUCUUUUGCCUGUCUUUAUUAUUUGUUUUUGAUAUAACAAAAAUUUGCUCUAAUAGUGUAAACCUAUUUCAAGAAAAAAAUAUAAUCAUAAAUUAAAUAAUAAUUAUUUAAUUAUUGGUUUGAUAAAAAUUAUUUGGUUUACAUGAUUUAAUUAUUUGUUUCAACAGACAGUAAAAAAUAAUUAUUAUUUAUUAAUUUCAUAAAAAUUAUUUAAUUACAUGAUUUAAUGGUUUGUGUUAAAAACAGUAAAUUAAAUAGUAAUUAUUUAUUGGUUUGAUAAAAAUUAGUUGAUUUACGUGAUGUAAUUAUUUGUUUUAAAAACAAUUUUCUUUACAUGAUUUUCGGAUGCAAGUUGAUUAAAUUAAUCUUUAAAUAAGUUAGUAAAAAUUAUCAAAGUUGAUAACAUAUAACCCGUCUGAAUCUAAAUAACCUAUUCAAGUUUAACUUAAUUUGACUUUAAAAGUCAAUAAAUAAUUCAAACACUAUCAAAUGAUCCACCCAAGAUCUAACCUAAAUGCAAAAUAAUCCAAAAUUUCAUUUUCCAAAAUCGAAACAGUCAAAAUCCAUAAUAAUAUAAUCCAACAUGAAUUGCCUAAAACAUCCUAUUGUCAUAUUAUAAAACUAAGUAUAGUAACAAAAUCCAUGUAUGCAAGUUUUUAAUAAUAUUUGUGAAAAUUUUAAGCAGUGCAUGUAUCUCUUUCAUUUCACUUAAUAAUAAACUUAAAAAGGGCGAGAGAAUGGACAUUUAAAAGUUGGAUUUUGUGUGAAAGAUCAUAGAAAUAAAAUAUAUAUUUUUUAGGCAAAAUCAACAUUUCAAACUAAUGAGGGAUUGUUAAAUAGGUUAUUAAUGUUGAUAGUCUGUACUCUCAGACUAAAACAUUAAUAAGCAAUUAAUUUUAUUAUUCUAAUUUUUAAAUUAAAUAAUAAAAGGUUAUUUAUGAAAAGUGCUUAUUGAUACAAAGUCAUAACUAAAAAGUUAAAAAUAGUUACCUUAUUAAAUAUAUUUUUUGAGUAGUUAAAUUAUGAAAGAAAUAACUAUUUCAAGAGUUAUAUUAUAAAAAAAAUAAGUCUUUAUAUUAAAAGACGUAUACCUUGAAAAAAACGUUAACUUAUGCCCUUAAAAUUAUACCUUUUUUUUCUCAAAAUUUCUUCUUUCUUCUCAAAUAUUUCUAACACAUUCUAGAUGUUACCAUUUGCAUUUCGAACAACUUUUUUUUUCUCUGUUAGAGAGUGGGUUUGGGAAGGUCGAUCACUAAAGGAAAAGAAAAAGGUUGCUUUGGCUAAAGCAAUGUUUUCUUUUGUUUAUAUUUGGAAAGAGAAAAUGAUUAUAUAAACAAAGUAUUUAUGAAAGAGUAGUGUUAAAGUGGAUCAUGACUCAGAUUGAAUUAUCUUCAUGAACAAGUAAAUUCUUCUUUACCAACAACAAAGAUUCCACAUUGCACAAUCACAACCGUCUCUCACUCUGCACUUCCAUUCUAAACACUAUCAAAGGAGUUACGACUUCUAUCUUCAGCUCCAUAUCCUACACUUCACCUCCUCCUGUUGUCCACACACAUUAUUAAAAUAUGAAAAAGAAAAGGCAGCAGCCAUUGAUCAAUCCAUCAACAAAACUUUUUCGGUUAUAACUUUGUAUCUGUAACGAAAAAGGGGGCACGCAUCUGUAACCUCAAUAUAUAUAUAUAUAUAUAUAUCCAUCCUUUUCAGGUGUUGUGAAUUAGGAAUUUAGGAAGAGGAAUGCAACCGAUUACCAAUGAAGCAUCAAAUUCCAGGCUUGCGGCCAUUACAAGCAAAUUAAAAAAAAAAAAAGAAUUAGUACUAAGAUGCUAUUUUAUUAGCUGCAAGUAAUUUUGUCUGUGUUUCUGUAGCCAUCUUUGGAAGCUAAUUACUUAAUGGUUCAGAUAGAUGCCAAACGGAUAUGAUUCCCUUUUUUUUUUUCUCUUUUUAAUUAUUAAUUAUUUUCCAUGAACAUGAACAUCCCCAUGAACGUGGCUUCUACAUUUCCCCACUUCAAAAUUUCAGAAAUACAAUGAUCAAAGAAUCUUGAAAAAGAAAAAAAACAAACAUAAAUAUGCUUGAGCUUAGAUUUUUGAGUUAUGGAAGAUGAAUACUUUGAAAAAGAGGAAUAUGAAGAACGAGGAUAGUGUAAUCUGGCUCCAAAAAGGGUUUUGAUGCUUAGGCUAACAAGUAAUUUAGUAAUUUAAUCAUAUUUUGACAUUUUGUGACGAGAUAUUUAUUAUUAAAUCUAAUGAAUUUGGGCUAAAUUACAACAAAAUCAUAAGAACUUGUAUGGAUUUUAUCAAAAGAAAAAAAAAAAAAAGAGAGAAGAAAACUUGAUCAAUUAAUGGACUUUAGAAAGCAAAGUACACGUGUCGUGACCCGUAUAUCGGAGUAGGCUCCUGAGUAUUAAGGAGCUCGGUGGACGGCCCCUCCAGUAACCACCUAGUCAACAUUGAGCCCAGCCAGCCAGUCCAGCACACUACCCAAACAAACAAGCAGGCUACCAUGCAGAUUGGCCUACAAGAUGUCUCCCCUUGAGUAGAAGGAGUUGAGGAGGCAGUUGGGGAAGCUCAUUGAGGCUCGUUUCAUCGUGGUUUCUAAGGCCCCAUUUGGUGCGUAGGUGUUGUUUUAGCACAAGCAUGAUGUCUCCUUGCAUGUAUGUGGAUUAUCGAAUGUUGAACAAGCUGACCAUUAAGAACCUCAUACCACUUAUAGUAGAUUUAUUUGAUUAGUUGAGGGAGGCUACAUGGGUUAGGAAGUUGGUCUUGAGGCCAGACUUCUACCAAGUGCACAAAGUUGACGGUAAUAAGCCCAAGAUAGCUUGUAUCAAAUUUUUGGUCAUGUCAUUUAGGCUCAUCAAUGCAUCAAUCAUGUUUUACACGCUCAUGAACAAAGUACUCUAACCCUUUUUUGAUAAAUUUGUGAUGAUUUACCUUGAUGAUAUUAUUGUUUAUAGUAAUACCCUUGUUGAGCAUGUAGAACAUCGUAAGCUUGUCUUUGAUGAACUGAGAGCACAUAAAUUGUAUUUCAAAAAGGAAAAUGUGUAUUUAGCUUGCAUUAAAUACCAUUCUUGGGGCAUAUUAUUAGGAUAGAUAAGAAUAAGUUGAAGGAAAAUCUUAGAGUGGGAGCCACCCAUAAACGAGAAAGAAUUAAGGCCUUUUUCCGGGUUGGUGAACUACUAGAGGAUAUUCAUUAGGAGCUACUCAUCCAUAGUUGCACCCCUCAUGAAUAUGCUGAAGAAGUGAAGGAAUUGGGACAGGAAUGGAGUCAAAGGGCGUUUGAGAGGUAUAAACAGGUAAUGACUGAGAAGCUAGUUCUAGCCAUAUCCGACCAUGGUAGGCCCUUUGAGGUAUACACAAAUGCUUUUGAUUUUGCCAUUGGUGGCGUGCUGAUGCAAGAUGGCUACCUUAUUGCAUAUGAAAGCAGAAAAUUGAAUGAGAUCAAGAGACAAAUAUUACUCAAAUAAUCUUAAUGCGAAACUGGAAUAAGCUAAACUUGAAAAUGACUUGAAUUUUCUUGCACCUCAAAGUGAUUGUCCAUCUAAUUAUCACCCCUACCAACUAUGAUAUUAUGAAAUAUCUAUAACAUGCAUAUAUAUAUAUUUGAGAUUUCUUAUCCUAUAAAGUUUUGUUCAAGUAUUUGUUAAAGAUUUCAUAAACUAUCGCAUCUCUAAUAUCAAAAAAAAUUUCUCAUUCAAAUGAUAAUUUUAUUAAGCACUAGUAUAUGAUCAUAUACUAUCAUGAUGUAUUUCAAAAAGAUCAGAUUAAAGCAUAUAAACACAUACCAUAAAGACAAUGUUCUUAAAACCUAAAAUAAAAAAAAGAACACGAGUCACUCUAGCAUAACCACAUUCUAUUAUCAUGUAUAACACAUUUCAAUAUGAUCCAUUCCGAAUUGAGUUAAUAUACCAUUUAUCUCAAAUAUAAGCAAUAAAUUGAAAAUGACUAGAAUUAGAUUUCGUUGAGUAGUAACACAAUUGAAAUAUUAUUUUUAUUUACUAGGCCCACACAGUUUAGAACGUUAUAAAUCACAAAAAAAUAACAUAAGAUUUGAAUUUGACUUUUUAAGUAAAGAACACAAUCACUUACCUUUAAAUGGUUUAUUCCAAUGCACAAUACAACAGGACUUUUGUUUAAUUAAUACCUCAUUCACGCAAAGCUAUUAAAGCAUGUACAACUUGGCUGAAAUGCUACUGACAAAGGUGAGAGGAUCAAAACGACAUGCACAAAGGAUUUCACCUCUGUCCUCCUUCUAUGACUUCUUCGACCUAGAAAUAAAGAAUAAAGGUUAUGAAUGCAAAUUAGAAUCAUAAGACAUGAUCAUGGAUCUUACUUUUUUAAAUUAAAUGCAAAUAAAUAGAUAAAAUGGAAAUAAUUAAAGUCCAAUUAAUUUGGUCAUGUAAAAAGUGAAAGCAGAAUAAGAGCUGUGGGGACAAAGAAUUAUAAAGACUAGGUGAUUAGUGGUUCACGGGAAUGUUUCUUCCACCUGAUAAAAUAGCCAUCACUUGACAAGGGCAGCAUUCCCUGUUGAUCCAUCAGAAGUAUCUUUUUCUUUUUUUGCUGAGCCCAUCAGUAGAAUCUUGAUGGAUAUCGCUAAAAUUUGUUGAAGUUGGAGUGCUAGACUGCUCUAUUGUUGGGUCCAUGUCCUCCAUAUCACUUCGAUACACUAAUCGAGCCCCACACUUCUUGACCUUAGGACCAAUGCCAAGGGUUUCGAAUAAAAUCUUAAUUCCAAUACACUUCUUCACCUUGCAAUCUCCACUUUCGUCAUUCCAAAAAUAAUCUACAAUGUCACGAGGCAAAUACCCUAGCCAAAGAUGGUCCUUCAAGAUCCGGUGUGAAUCGCUAUGAAAAUUAAACCCAUAAGUAGGUAGCCUAUGUUGAAAAUCUAUAGAAUGGAUAAUAACAGUACACAUAGCAAGAUCCCUAAUCCAAUCAUCAUUAUUGGAGGGAGGCACAAAAACACAGCAGACGGCGAUUCCCAUCCACUGAUCACCAUCAUUUUGCAAAUUGGGAGGCAUUGAUAUCAUUACUGAACCUUCCUCACUCUGGUGAUUAAACCAUUCAAAGAUUUUACUUCCAGGAAUAAGCAUGUCAAAUAUCGUUUUUGCUUUCGCAAUUGCCUGCAAAACAAAGCCCCGUUUGAAAAUACACAUUUUGCAACAGAAUUAUUUUGAAAACUUUCAAUAUGAUGCUUGAAGUUUGAAAAUUCAUAAUUAGAUAUUUGAAUUUUAAUUCAAUUAGUUCGUUUGAAAAUUUUGAUUAACGGUGUUCAUCAAAUAGGUGACAUGUCACAAAACAAUCAAUAAAAAUACGUCACAUGUCUAAAAAUACUACGUCAGUUUAAUUUUUAUUUUUUUAAAAAAAAUUGUUUUUAAAGAAAAAAAACCGUUUUUUUUGCUAAAAAUUUUUAUUUUUAAAACAAAAAUAAAAAAAUUCAGAAAAUUCAAAACAAAAAAAAAAUUUCGGUUUCUUACAAAUUUUAUUUUUGAAAUUUAAAAUAAAAGAUUUUUAAAAUAUGGAAAAAAUAAAUUAUUUUUAAAAUAAAAAAUAAAAAAUUGACAUAAUAUUCAAAAAAGACCAUAAACUAUUCAAAAAAAUCUAAAUAAAAUCUUAUAUGUUUAUUACGUUAAAUCAAACCUUCAUUAUAAGUUAAUUAAGUCUUUAUAACUAAUAAUUAAUUAUUAUUGUGUAACUAAAUUAUCACACAACACUUACAUGGCAUACUACAACGACGUAAAUUAGUGCCAAUCUAAACCAACACUAGCUCGAACAAUGCCUUCCUCUCCUUUCACCUUGUCUCUCUUUCCUCCCUUCCUCCUCCUUCCCUAUGUAUAUCCCCAAAUUUCCCUAUUUCUCUCUCCCUAAUUUUUUAUUCCUCUUUUUGAUUUCUUCUAACUUUUGUCAUUUUCUAGAUUUUUAAAAUUUUUAAAAUUAUUAUUUUAUUGUUAAAAAUGAAAACGUUAGAACAAAAACAAAAAAUAAAACACAAAAAAUGAUGAGUCACAUGCACAUUCUUAUUAGUUAUUUUUUAUCAUAUUGUUGAUUUGACUAACUGUUAAUAAAUAAUUCAAACCAUUCAACGAAAGUAAAAUUUAAAUAUCUAUUCGUAACUUUUUAAAUUUUAAGUAUCAAAUCGAUAAUUUUGCCAUGAUCAAAUAUCAAAUGCAUAAUUAAUCCAUUAAUUUACUACUAUAAAUUCUUGGGAAUUAAGGGUAAGCGAGUUCUAGAAAUAUACCUUAAUAUGUCCUUUUAGCAUUCCUAAUGCAUUUUCAUUCCCAACCAAUUUGAAGCAAUUAAGGCCGUAACAAUAUGCCUUACUCCAUAUAGGGUUAUAACUUCUUCUUUUCCAAGGAUUGUAUGGUUUUGUUGGAUUCGGAACUAUCUCCAAUGAAGCACAACCACCUAACCCUACUGCCUUUAUGCUUGAUGGAAGCUCAGGCAAUGAUUCAAGCUUUUUGCAAUCCCAUAAUUCGAGACGAAGAAGCUUGGUAAGCUGACAAAUAUUUGCAGGUAGGCUGACGAAAUUGUUAUGAGUAAGAAUCAGUGUUUCCAAUGAGGAUAAGCAACAUAUAUCAUUAGGAAGAGCCCCUUCACAAAGAGUCCUGCCGCUUAUAUUCAACUCUGUCAAAGAACUCAAACCUGAGAAACGAGUUAACGUUAGAGCUAUGGAAUUCGGACUUUUUUUGAAAAGCAUGGGAUUCAGACUUGGUAAUAGCACUCUGCAUCCCUUCCUAUAUAUCCUCUGUAGGAAGGAUGGUGGUAAAUUUUCAAAUACAGAGCAACUCGAGAGAUUAAGAACUUUUAGACUGCUGAGAUCUCCAAUUGAAGAGGGAAGUUCUUCAAUGCUUGUCCCAUCUAAAUAGAGCUCCUGCAAGAGUUUUGAGAUUUGAGAUUCUUAUAGAUUCUUAAAUUCAAAAGUUUAAGCUUGGGUAGAAAUGCAAUGGAUGGAUGGACAUCUACUAAGCUGGUACAGCCUUCCAAAUUCAAACUUUUGAGAUUUUUGGUCAUUGUGAAGUCUGCUAAAUGUUCAAGUUUAGAGCAGCCCGAAAGAAUCAAUGUUUCAAGAGAUUCCAUUCCAAUUUUGGUUGGGAGACUCCUAAGGCUUUUGCAGUUUCAUACAUUCAAAAGUUGAAGCUUGGGUAGAAAUGAGAUGGAUGGAUGGACAUCUACUAAGCUGGUACAGCCUUCCAACUCCAGACUUUCGAGAUUUUUGGCCAUUGUGAAGUCUGAUGUCCUUAUUAGCUUUGGGGAGUGUUGGAGGUUGACGACUUUUAACUUAUUUAAAGGCUGUCAAAGAAACAAAAAACUUGUUAAUUUGUAACGAUAUUCAAAUUAUUUAUAAUUUCUAUGAAAAUAAGUUUAAAGGCCAACAUUAAAUAAAGUAAUUCUUACUCUCUUUCCCUCCCAUAGUCGUUCAAUGCAGCUAUUAGGUAGGAGAAGUGCAACAAGGUUGUUUGGUUGGGAGCCCGAAGGCAAUGAUUCUAAAGGACAUCCAAACCAAUCAAAAAACCGUAACUCUUUAGAAAGAUAUCUGAGAUUAGAAGAUUUAAAGAGACCACGGACUAUGAGCAAUCUUAGUUUUGUCAUCUUCGAGAAGGCAUCAGCAUUCAAAGUGAAAGUCUUGUUUUGUUCCCUAAGAAAUGAUAAGCAAGGGAAUACAGACAAAUGAGCUUCACAACAUAUAUAGCAAUAGAACAACCUACAAAGCUGGAGUGUUUGUGUCUGUAUAUAUAUAUAAAGAAUCCUUGACACUUGGAAAAGUCACUAGAUAUGCAUGUAUUCUAGAUGCUCAUGAACUUGAGUUUCAUCUUGCACAAAAACUAUUAAAGUCUCAAUUCAAAUUUAUUGAUUUCUAAUGCAACCAAUAUUUCUGUUUUGCAUUCUUAUUUCUUGUCCACGUUCAAUCAAAAUUUAAAUUCCUUUGUCAAGCUCUUUUCUAUAUCAACUGGAUUAUCACGGUUUUUCCUUUUUGUAUUUUGGUAGCAUUAAUAUACUACCAAUGAUUAAGUUAAUAUACACUUUUAGGUAAAGUCAUUCCAAAUUUUUAAUUUUAAAAAUUGGUUUAAUUGAUAUGUGAAUAUUUCUUUAGUUAUGUACAUAUCUUUACGAUCUCCGCAAAUAUCGUAACUCAAUACUUUUGUAUAUAAUGACAAUUAAUAUAAUUUAUUUAAAUAAAUAAAACAUGUUUCGCAUAUCCAUUCCAUACGAUUUAAAUUGGCUGCCAUUUAUGAAGCCCUCGGUAGGCUUAAUAGGCUGCCAUUUGACAUCUAAUUAAGCACCAUAAGAUAAUUCAGAGGAAAGAAAAGAAAAAGAAGAGAAAUACAAAAACGUUCAUAUUAAGUAAAAAAUAAAAUAAAAUUGUGGCAUACAAAUACACUUAAUUAAAUAAAGUAAAAAUAUGAUCAAAAAUAUAUUUAAAAAUUUUAAUUAUUGUACAAUUAAUAAAAUUAUAUAUGGAUAUUUAAAUAAAAGGAAUCUCAAUCAAUUAUUAAUUUCAUGAUAAUAAACAUUAAAAUGUUUAAUUAAUAUUAAUAGUUAUAACGUAAAUGUUAAAAUUGAUUUCAAUAUUUUUACUUUCUUUUAAAGAAAACUAAUUAGUUUAUUUUUACAUGGUAAAUGUAAUAUACUUAUAUGUUAAUUUAAAUAAUCAAAAAUAUUUUAUUUCACACCAUUCCUUCUAUAUAUAAUUUCAGAAAAUAAAUAAAUGAAAGUCGAAAAUGUGUAACAUAAAACUAAUAUACUUAAUAAAAUAAAAUAAAACAGGAUUAAAUAUGUCUUUUAACUUGUUCCAAAGUUGCACAAAAUAUCUUAAUGUAAUAAGAACAUCAAUAAAAUCUGCGUCCCCUAGAUUUUAUCAGAACAGGCAGCUUAGAGGUCUGAUUCAUUCAGGUCUAUGGCUGUUUUUAUUUAGCCAACAAACUGUUUUUGUAAUAUGUAUCUGUCAUAGUAAUGAAUUUACAAUCCUUUUAAAAAAAGAUAAUCAAUAAUUAAGAAUAAAAUUGUUAAUUUAAUAAAUUACAAAAAAUAAAUAUAUCGUUUUCUAUUUCUAUUUUUUGAAUUCCGGGUUUUUAUAGAUAAUAAAGAUAAAGAUAAAGAUAAAUGGAUAUGUGUAGUUGUACCUUGUAAUGCUGUUGAUGACCAUGCCUUCAAUUGCUUCUGUACCCUAGACAUCAAGAGUACUGUAAGGCUUUACAUAAAGAUGGAUAAUUUGCCAAUUUAAAUAAAGAGUAAUAUAAAUAAAUAAACACAACUUACUCAUUAUGAAAUACUAACCGAGUUUUGUGUUAGCACUUGAUAUACAUCACUUUCCUCCGACAACCUACAUCCUUUGCUAGGUUCAUCAAGAGACUUUUGCCGAACAAUAUAUCUUCCCAUCUCUUGUAACAAAUCAUGCAUCCAAAUUUUGUUGCAUUCAACUGUUAUGAGAGAUUUCUUGAUGAGAACAUCUAGUCCAAUAUCCGGAUAAUACCCACAGCCAUCCAGUAUUUUUGUUACAAAAUCUCUAUCCCACCUGUUAAAGAAAUGUGCGAUCUCUAGAAAUAUUUUUUUCUCAAUUUCUGAUAAUCCAUCAAAGCUUAUUUGAAGACAAUUGUGAAUUCUAUUGUCAGGUUCACUUUUAAGUCUACCUAUAGCGCUCCUCCAUUGAGCUGCACCUCUAGCACAAAGAAAAGAGCCCAAAACUUCAAGAGCUAGUGGAUGGCCACCAGCAUAUUCCACAACAGUUUUACAUAGCGAUAUGAAAUCAUUUUCCAAUGCAUCACUAUUGAAAGCUUUCAAACUUAAGAGCUGUAGGGAUUCGGAUUCAUCCAAUGUUGUAGGCUUAUACACAUCAUCCACUCCGUAGACUCGCAACAGAUGCUCAUCUCUAGUUGUUAUGAUGAUUCUACUCCCUAAACCAAACCAAUCACGCUUUUCAGCCAGCCAUUUGAAAUGUUGAAUGUUUUCCGCAUCAUCAAUAACAACAAGAACAUUUUUAUGACGUAACCUACGACUUAUAAUUUCAAUUCCGUCAUAAACACUAGAAACUUUGAACUCUUCUCUAGGAAAAAUCUUAGAAAGAAGCUGUUCUUGUAAAGAAACAAGUCCAGAUUUCAUUGCAACUUCUCGAACACCAGCAAGAAAGCAUUUACCUUCAAAAUAACCAGACAUUUGGGUAUAAACAACACUUGCAAGAGUUGUUUUACCAAUGCCACCCAUUUCACAAAUUCCUACAAUGCGAAUAUCACGAUCUUCCUCAAAAUCUAUUUUAUCAUACAGCUCAUCCAAACGUGAAUGAAUUCCAAUUAAGUCAUUAGGAACACUUGAACGUGCUUGAUAUACCUUUGUUGAUAUCUUUUUAACGACUCCUCCAAUGAAUUCUGAUUCAUACCUAUAAACUCAAAAAGUCAAAUAAACAUUAUCAAUGAGAAAGCAUAAAUUACUAUUUGAUUUAUAUUCUACUAGAAUUUUGUAUGGCGCAUGUUUGUUGAGGUUACAAGUUUUUUUUAUUUAUAUAUACUAACAUCAAUAUAUCAUUAAAUUAUUCACAACAUUAUUUACUUAUUAGUAAUUAACAUUAAUUAAAUAUUAUUAUUUUUUAUUCAUAUUAAUCAUAAUAUUAUUGAUAAACCAAUUAAAUUUUUUAUUUUUAGAUAUAACUAAUUGAAUAAAAUGUAAUGUAAAAAACAAAAUUAGCUUUUAACUAUUGUAGAUAAGAUGUUUAUGUAUCUCCCUAUCAAAAAAUUGAUUUCUAAUUUGCAGUUUGAAAACAAUUAAAUAUGAAUUAGAGCCUGUUUGGUCUAGGUUUAUAUAUAUAUAUAUAUAUAUAAACAAUUAGGAUGCUUCAUACAAAGCAUCUCGCCACUUUUGCGUCUUGCUUUGAUUAUAUCUUUUUUCAGGUUCAGCAAAGGCUUUUUCAACGCUCCCUUUCUGUCUUCGUAGCUCACGUGGCUCGACAUCAUAGAAAAUAGGAAAAACUUUAUGUUUCCUCUCUUUUCGCUGUUUAAGAAUCUCAACAAGCUCAUCUAGGCACCACCUUGAAAAAGCAUACAUUUUUUAAAAAACGAUUAUUGAGCACCAUGAUUCUCUAAUUGCUUUAAGGAGCUCUGGUGCAAAGUUUUGGCCCUUCUCAAGCCUUUGGUCAUCCCUGAAAGUGAUGAUUCCUCUCUCAAUCAAACAAGAAUUUAGAUGGUCCGUAAAGCCCUUGCGGGUAUCUUCACCGUGAAAGCUCAAGAAAACAUUAUAUUUCCAUUGAGAAGAAGAUAGAGAUGAAGAUGAUGAGGAGGAGGAGGAUGGCGUGCCGAUGGUCAUAGUUGGAUAGAGGAAGAAGAAGGGAAGAUAGUGCCCGUUUCCUUAAGGUGCAGGAGGAGAUAUCUCUAUAACUUGCAGGGUUGACUUCUCUUUUUCCUCUCUAUUUACAUGAUGUGCCGUGGCCGGAUGGUGUCUUAAUAGCUGAUUGUUGCGAGGUAACUGCCCCUUUUUUUUUAAUAAUGGUGUCUCAUGUGGCUAUGGUGGUGCGUGAUAGCUGUGCUGAUAAGCAUUACAGUCCGUUUCAAGUUUUAACUAUCUCCAGUUGGUUCUUUCCAGGAUAUUGUAUCUUUCUUCUGAUACAUACUAAUAUAUCAGUCCUGAUUGAGCUAAAAAGACAAAAACAAAAUAAAAAUAAAAUCCGUAGCCGCCCAUGUUGCUGAAUUGUAUAUAACUUAAGCAAUCUUACCUAUAUAUUAUGUUUCUCUAGUUUACUGAAAACAAGGUCAGGCAUUCAGUGAUAAGAUAUGUCAUUGCUUCCUUUAAUAUUAUGUGGUAGUGAGUGCUUUGUAGGGGAACCCUUCAAUCAAUGGCGUUGGAGUUGGCGCUGUGCUACCGUAGCAAACUCUUCUUAAAAUUAAGAUUGAGAGAAUUUUGUUUCUUCCGCCGAUCAGAAGUGAACCUAAUCUUUCCCUGAAGUUACUGCAAAUAAAAUCCUCCAUGGUUGAAAUUAAAGGCUUUUCAAAAAUACAUAAAGAUAAAGAAUGACUAUUAAUAUCUUUGCUAAACUUCAAACUUCCUGUUAGGAUAGUCUUGAAUUGUGAUUUAAUUAGGGUUGUUUAAUUCUAAUUAAAUUAGUAUACCAUAUAAAAUAGUCUUUAAAUCUAAUUAUAUUAAAAUAACAAUUCCUAAUUAUAUUAAGAUAAGAUUCCUAAUUAUAUUAGGAUAAGAUUCCUAAUUAAAUUAGGAUAAGGUUAUUGUAUUUGAUAUUAUAAAAGGACCCUAUGGGUUAAAGAAUAAUUAUCACCUAGAUUUAGAGAGAGAGAUUUAGGUGUACGUGGGAUAAGGAUUAUGAGUUUGAGACUGUUUUUGUAAUCUCCUGAUUUUUCUCUUAGUGAAUUUUUCUCUGUUGUUAUGCCCGUGGACGUAGGUCAUCAAAAGACCGAACCACGUAAAUUCUUGUGUCCUUGUGGGUGUACUUGAUUUUUUUCUUUCUUUCUUCAUUCUAUUGAUUGGGUUCUUGGGCAAUUCUUUAGAGACAAUUCCGCAAUUUCCCAACAAACUGGUAUCAGAGCUUCAAGGUCUUGGAUCAAUCUGAAUCUCGCUAUGGCAACUUCGUCGACCAAGUAUGAGAUUGAAAAGUUUAAUGGAAGAAACGAUUUCAGCCUGUGGCGUGUUAAGAUGCGCGCAUUGCUAGUGCAACAAGGACUGUUGAAGGCACUGAAGGGAAAAGAGCAUCUUCCCUCGAAUUUAUCUGAUGGUGAGAAAGAUGACCUUAUGGAAAAAGCACAUAGUGCUAUUCUCCUUGCUUUGUCUGAUGAGGUGCUAAGAGAAGUCACGGAUGAAGAAUCUGCUGCUGCAGUGUGGUUUAAACUCGAAAGUAUUUAUAUGACCAAGUCCCUGACGAAUCGGCUUUAUAUGAAGCAACGAUUGUAUACUCUCAAGAUGAGUGAAGGUACGUCCGUUAAUACCCACAUUGAUGAAUUUAAUAGAGUUAUUCUUGAUUUAAAGAAUAUCGAUGUUAAAAUUGAGGAUGAGGACCUAGCCCUAAUUCUUUUAUGUUCUUUGCCUCCAUCGUAUGAAAAUUUCGUGGAUACUAUGCUUUACGGCCGAGACACUCUCACUUUCGAGGAUGUAAGGGCAUCUUUAAAUUCCAAGGAAUUAAAGAAGAAAGUUGGUGGUAUUCGGAAUGAAAAUCAAGCAGAAGGUUUGGUUGUAAAUAGAGGUAGAGGUAAAGAGAAAGGCUUAGACAGAAAAGGUAAAUCUAGAGCAAAAGGGAAAACUUGCUGGAAUUGUGGUCAGAAAGGGCAUUUUCGUCAAGACUGUAUCAAAUUCAAGGAUGAUGAAAAGUUUAAUAAGUCUGAGAAUACUGCAAACGUGGUUGGAGAUGACUUUGAUACUUUUGAGGAAACUGAUAAUGUUCUUGCAAUUACUAAUUGUAACCUGAUGGAUACAUGGAUCUUGGAUUCGGCUUGUUGCUUUCAUAUAUGUCCUAGGCGUGAUUGGUUUACAACUUAUCAAUCUGUUAAUAUGGGCACUGUACAAUUAGGAGAUGAUUUCUCUCUCUCAGUUGUUGGAAUUGGCACAAUUAGAAUCAAGAUGUUUGAUGGUAUGGUAAGAACACUUGAGGUAAAACAUGUCCCUGACAUGAAAAAGAAUUUAAUAUCCUUGAGUUUGUUAGAUAAGAAGGGCUACAAAUAUAGUGGCCAAGAUGGUGUCUUGAAUGUAUCUAAAGGAGCCUUAACUAUCAUGAAGGGCAAGUUAUCCGGUGACCUUUAUUGUCUAGUGGGAAACACGGUCAUUGAAACUGUUUCUGUGGUCUCAUCUAAUGAUCCUGAAGAUGAUGUAACACGUUUAUGGAAUAUGAGAUUUGGUCAUAUGAGCGAGAGAGGGAUUAGAAAACUAAGUAAGCAUAGUUUGCUGUGUGGUCAAAAGAGUGGAAAGCUAGAUUUCUGUGAGCAACAUAGAGUGAAAUUUAGCACUAAAACUCAUCAAACCAGGGGUACAGUAAACUACAUCUAUUUAGAUUUGUGGGAUCCUUCUCCGGUGGUAUCAAAAGGUGGAUCAUUAUACAUGUGGAUCUUUAUUGAUGAUUUUUCAAGAAAGGUGUGGACGUAUCUUCUAAAGGCUAUGAGUGAAGUGUUAACCACCUUUUUGCAUUGGAAGGUAUUGAUCGAGAAGCAGACUAAGAAAAGGAUCGAGAGCUUUCGAACAAACAAAGGUUUGAAAUUUUGCAAAGGUGAGUUUGGUCUAUUCUACAAGAAUGAGAAAAUCGUUAGACAUCGCACUGUCGACAAAACACCAUAUCAAAACGAUAUUGUAGAAUUGAUGAAGAAAACACUUUUGGAGAGAGCAAAAUACGUGUUCUCAAAUGUUGGCCUAACCAAAGUAUUUUGGACAGAAGCUAUCAACAAGGCUUGUUACUUGGUAAAUCGGUCUCCAUCAACUGCAAUUGAAUUUAAGACUCCCAAGGAAGUUUGGUCUGGUAAGCCUGCUGAUUAUUUUAUAUUGAGAGUAUUUGGUUGUCCUGUUCAUGUUCAUGUGAGUGAUGGUAAACUUGAGUUGAGGGCGACAGAGUGCAUAUUCCUAGGCUAUGCAUAUGGGGUGAAGGGUUAUUGGUUGUGGUGUACUGAUUGUAAGUUCCCCAAGUUUAUGGUGAGUCGGGAUGUUACCUUUGACAAGUCUGCAUUACUUUGUGGGAUAAAGUCUAGAAUUGCAAACACAUCAGACCAAGAAGUUGGCAAGCAGGUGGAGCUUGAAAUCAAUGCUCUUGUGACAGUGCGAGAUGAUAGUGAAAUCCAGAAAGAAUUGCAAGAGGUACAAGAAUUGGUAUCUCAACGAAGCAUUACUUGUAUUGAUGGUGAUUUUGAUUCUUAUGUUUUAUUUGUGGAAGUAGAGAUUGAAGAGCCUUACUUUUAUCAUGAGAAAAUUAUAUAUGUCGAGUCUUCUAAGAAGAUUGAGUCUCUACACUGGGAUCAAACAUGGGAGCUUGUGAAAACACCUAAAGUUACUAUUGAAGUUGGCUUAGUGUGUGAAGGAGGUGCAAACAUUAGUCGUAAUGUGGUUGGCUUCUCCAAAUCAGAUUUUGCUGGUGAUCUAGAUAGUAGAAGAUCUCAAACGGGGUAUGUGUUCACUCUCUCAGGAUCUGCAAUCAGUUGGAAAGCAGUUCUUCAAUCAACCUUUGCUUUGUCUACAACUGAAGCUGAAUAUAUGGCUGUGACCGAGGCAGUGAAGGAGGCUUUGUGGCUUAAAGGCUUGGUUAGUGAUCUUGGUUUUGAACAAACACAAACAGUUGUGUUUUGUGAUAGUCAAAGUGCUAUACAUUUGACUAAAAAUCAGAUGUUUCAUGAGAGAACCAAACACAUCCAAGUCAAGUGUAACUUCGUUCGAGAGAUUAUUUCUAAAGGUGAGAUUGUAGUAAAGAAAAUAGCUACAGAUGAAAAUCCGGCAGAUAUGCUAACUAAGUCAGUUUCUGGGAUAAAGUUCAAGCAUUGCUUGGACUUGAUCGGUGUUCGUAGUGCUUGAGGCCCAUUGGGGCAGUGGCGGUGUCGACAGAGAUUGGUUCGUAAGGUGGAGCUUGGUGAAUUCAAGCCUAAGGUGGAGAUUUGUUAGGAUAGUCUUGAAUUGUGAUUUAAUUAGGAUUGUUUAAUUCUAAUUAAAUUAGUAUACCUUAUAAAUAGUCUUUAAAUCUAGUUAGAUUAGAAUAACAAUUUCUAAUUCUAUUAGGAUAAGAUUCCUAAUUAAAUUAGGAUAAGGUUAUUGUAUUUGAUACUAUAAAAGGACCCUAUGGGUUAAAGAAUAAUUAUCACCUAGAUUUAGAGAGAGAGAUUUAGGUGUACGUGGGAUAAGGGUUAUGAGUUUGAGACUGUUCUUGUAAUCUCCUGAUUUUUCUUUUAGUGAAUUUUUCUCUGUUGUUGUGCCCGUGGACGUAGGGCAUCAAAAGAUCAAACCACGUAAAUUCUUGUGUUCUUGUGGGUGUGCUUGAUUUCUUUCUUUCUUUAUUCUAUUGAUUGGGUUAGAUCUUGGGCAAUUCUUUAGAGACAAUCCGCAAUUCCAACACUUCCAUUAUAAAAAAUGAAACUACGUGAGGGAGGCGGAGACAGUAACGCUUCCCUUUCCACAUUCUGAUAGUUUCAAAAUCUUGAUGGGACAGCUUGACAGGUUCUAGACAUUAGAGUAAGAGAGGGCUAUUUGAGUUGAAUUUUGGUGGCUCCCCUUGUAGCCGUUGGGUGCGGGAGGGAUUUGCCUAUAAAUAGAGCAUUUAAGACUCAUUGUAAAGUUUGGUUACGCACUUGUAAAUCUCUUGCAAUUGUGAAUAGAAUACACAAACCUUUGCCUUAUUGACUCUCGUGCUUUGGAUAUUCUCAUGUGUUGGUAAGUGGCUGUGCAUAUUGGUGCUUUGAUAAGUGCAUUUGUGGCAUAUUGGCUUCUGCUGCUUAUUGUGUUAGUGUUUAAGGUUGAACUUAGGGAACCAACACAUGUAGUGUGUCCUAAAUUCGCACGGUGUGAGCCCCUAAAGUAGUCCACCUUUGACAAGUGGUAUCAAAGUUCAAAUCUCAAGGCACGUUGUAUGCAUUAGAAAGUUGGUUGUCCAAGGUGGGAGUGGUCGUGUGUGAGUUGAGGGAGAAAAUGAAGGAUUAUGCGGAGAUGAGCUGGAAAGGAGCUUCAAAAGGCCUUGAAGGAGAUCAUGGAUCAUGGAUCCUAAAGGAGUACGACUUUGGAGGAAAUAUUUGGGGUGAUGAGGCAAGAAAUGCAAGAGAUGAAGGUAUGGCCAAGCUAUGGCCUUUGCCUAGCUUUAGUGCUUUUAUUAUAUCAAAUUAAAACACAUAAACACGUACCAAAAAAUAUAAACAAGUAUCAAAAAAAUAAAAAUACAAAAAAAAACGAAUUACCAUUAAAACUCAAGAAAACAUCAUAUUUUCAUUGAAAAGAAGAUGCAGAUGAUGGGGAGGAAGUGAAGAUAGUACCAUCAUUUUCCAUGAGGAGAAGGAGAAGGGGGAGCGGGAUAGCAAAGGAAUCAAUUUGGACAAUAAAUAAUGUUCAGUAAAAACAUGGUGAAUGGAAUAAAAUGAAAAGCAAAUUGACUUGACUGACUUUCCUAUUUCAAUUUCACAACAUUGACGUGGGUACGUCCUUAUCACAUAGGACCUACUCUUACGUGUUUUGGACGUGAAGUUACUUACGGGUCAAUUGGAGUGCAUCUUUUUCUACAUAUCCUCAUCUUUAUCGUGGAUUUUUGAGUGAUGGAAGAUGAAUAAGUUUGACCAAGGAAGAUCGUGCAAACUGCUUUCAAAUUUUUUAUCGCAUAUUAUGAUAAAAUUUGAUAUUUCAUAUUUGACACUAAAAAAUAAUAUUUCAAUAUGUCAAUUUAAUAACAGCCAAAAUACGUACUAAGUCUUAUUCUUAUGUAUUUUGCUCAAUUUAGUCUUUAUACUUAAAAUUAAAGCAAUUUAAUUUUUUGAUUUUGAGAAUUACUUCAAUUUAAUCUCUCCCUCUAAUAACAUCUAAUUUUACCGUUAAAAAGUUAACAUCAGUACUGACGUGUAGCCAAAGCCACCGUAAAAAAUGCACCCUCUUUUUGUUGGGAUGGUAACAUUUUCUUGAGUUUUAUUCUAAUGAUAAAGACUUAUUCUUGGAAAUUGUGUGUAUGCCCAUCUUUGAGCUUUGGAAAAAUUAGGCCAAACACAAAUAUUUUCUUUUUGAAUGGCAAGACAAUGUUAUUACUCAAAGCUGGAGAGAGCAAAUACAUAGGAGGAACUGUAAGGGCCAGUUCCUGAAAUGGAAGGUUUAAAGAGCAUAGCAUUGAAGCAAAAGAAAACAAUCCUACAAAAGAUGCCACUCUACUAAAAAACAAACAAAAUGGAGAAAGAAUCAGCAUGAGAAACGCAUGCGGGAAGAAAAACUCAGCAUGAUAAACAGGGGGUUCCAUAAAUAGCCCACAGUGAAACACAUCAAGGCAGAAUCAUAAUAUAUGGCAAAGCAUUUUGAGAGUCCGUGUAGAUUAGAACAGACCCGAGAAGUGAUCAGACCUGAUAAUCCCAGAUUGACCAAGACCAUCAGCUAAGCUGUUAGCUUCUCUAUUGAUGUGGACAAAGGAUAAAUUUCUGAUGUUAGUUUUAAGAGCUUCGAUGGAAUUAAACAAGUUCUUCAUGUUCUAAGGGACUGAGUUUAGGGUGUUUAUUAGUUAUGGAAGAUGAAUACGUUGAAGAAGAAGAAGAUGAAGAAUUAGUUUUGAUGUUUAGGGUCACGAGUAGUUUAGUAAUUCAAUUACAUUUUUGACAUUUUGACCUAGGAUAUUUAUUUGAAAUUUAAUGAAUUCGAUUAAUAUCUGAUUUUGCAUUUUGAUUGAAUUGAUUAUUAUUAGUGAUUUAUCGUACCAUGAAUAAUGUUAAAAGGUAAAUCAUGUAUAAUAUUUAUUAAAGUAAAAUAACAUAAUAUGUUUAAAAGUAGGUAUCUAGUUAUUUUUAUUGUUAAUUAUUAUUAUAGUUUAUGAUUUUUUUCAAGUUAUUAUUUAUUUUAUUAUUUGGUAACUGGUAAGGAUAAAGAAUAAAGAGUAAAUGGAAAUAAAAUAUUAUAAUAUAAUAUAUAUAUAUAUAUAUAUAUAUUUGCACAGCUAAAAGAAAUGAUUUGUACUAAUGAUAAUUAGAUGUACAAAAUGUUUUAUAUAUAAUCAUAAAAAUUGAAUUUAAUUAUAAUAAUCAAAAGAAUAUACAUUUUUUUGUUUCAUAAGUACUGUUUUGUUUGCCUGUCUUUGGUUGCUUUAAAUUUAUAAAGAUCAUUUGGCUUACAUGACGUAAUUAAUUUGUUAAAAAACAAUUAUCUUUACAUGAUCUACAGAUGCAAAUUCAUUAACAUUGUCCUUAAAUAAGUUGAUAAAAGUCUUAUAAAAAUAUAAGUUGAUAAAAAUUAUAAAUAAGUUGACAAAAUUACGAUAUGCUAGAACAAUAGAAAUUGAUGUUGAUUUAGCCAAUAACAGUUAGAACGAUGGCUUCACCUCCUGUCCUCCUUUCCUCUACUUCCCUAUCUCCCCAAAUCCCCUUCUCACUCUCUUUAAUUUUUUUUUCUUGUUUUUUUAAAAAAAAUUUGUCAUUAUCAAGAUUUUUAAUUUUUUAGAAGUAUUAUUUUAAUAUUAAAAAUAAAAACGUUAGAACGAAAACAACAGAUAAAAACAGAAAGAUGAUUAAAAAGAGUAUAAAGUUGUGGGGACAAAGAAUUAAAAAGAGUUGCAAUUACCUGUUAAUCCAUCAGUAGUAUGUUGACGGAUAUGAUGAAAAUUUGGUGAAGUUGGAGUGCUAGGCUACUCUAUUGUUGGGACAAAGAAUUAAAAACAGUAGUAUGUUAAUCCAUCAGUAGUAUCUUAACACCGUAAUGAUCUGGAAAUGAUAAAUCUAUUUUUAAAAAAAAAAAGCACUCUAAUGGGUAUAAUAAAUCAUCUCAUCUUAUUAUUAUACAUAUAUAACUAAAUAUAAUGACUGAACAUACAAGAAAUUUUUUAAUCACUAUACAAUGGGGGAACAUACUCGCCAUCAAUUUAUUGAUUUCAUAUGCUAAAAUGGCCUAUCAUAUGAUUUACUAUGAGUAAAAUUCAACCAUCUUAACACGAUUAUCUUCGAUUAAUUAUUAGCUAUGAGGAUCUUAUCAGUAAAUAAUAUAUGAAUAAGAAUUUGAAACUAUUAAUAUUUUUAGUCACCUUCAGAUUUUUGGUCACUUUCCACUGAUGUUACUCAUUUUGGAGGAGGGUUUUGGGAGCGGGGUGUAUUAGGUAACCUUAUAAUAAUGCCGCAGAUAGAUACGAAAGAUAGAGUACAUUUUAUAUAUGGUGGGGCAUUUAUCUAUUUAGAGAAAACUAUUUCAGAAAGGUAAUUUCAUCAUUUAAUGUCUUAUACUCAUGGUGAUUGCUUGUUAAAAUUGUGAUUUUGCUAUGGUUUAAUUUUCUCAGACGGUGAGAUUCUUCUAUCGGCUUUGGAGCACCUGUCCCUGCAAAUAUGAGGAGCGGUGACUUCACUACUGCUGCAGUUACAUCAUCAUUGUAGGAAUCUAAGAGAAUCAAAACUCAAGAUGGCUUAGGGAACUGUAUAUUUUUCCAUUGCCAUUUUCAUAUUUGUUUGGAGGAAAAUUCCAGCUUCAUUGUAUAUUUCUCUUAAAAAAGUAUUUUCUUCACUAUAUCAGAAAUGUAACCUAAUGCUUGACCCCGCAGGUUGAAAGUGAUGAUCUUAUUGCAUAUGGAUUGAUUCCUGAAUUUAUUGGGCGCUUUCCUAUUUUACUUAGCUUAUCUGGUUUAAAUAUAUUUUAGUUUCCUAUUGUCUUCACUAUAUAUUGUUCUGAACAGGGUCUUUACCUUUGAUGUUAUAUUAUAUAGUUGUCGAGUGAUGUUAAAAAGUUCAAAAUAAUAAAUCUGUGAUUAAAUUGAAAAGUUUGAAUUUCAUUAAAUAAAAUCUGCUAAGACUUGGGGUGGUUAAUUUUUUUUUUUUGAGAGAGAAACAUGAUUUCAUAGAGUGUUCUAACUUGUAAGAGGGUAAUAAUUCAGAUGGAGUUAAACAAUUUUCAAUAUCAUGUGGUGCAUGGAUUACAAUACAUAUACAUUUAAAUUUCUAUAAAUUAAUAUCUCUAGGACCAUAAAAUUUAUUAAUUUAUCGAAAUCUUUUGGAGGGUUAUAAAUUGGGAUCCUACAUCCAGAGAAGAUAAAUGUUUUAAAUGUAAUAAAUCUUGUAAUCUCAGCUUGGACAAAAGAUGUUCAAGUACAAUUGCAAAUUGUUUUCAACCUUGUAAAAUUAAGUCUAUGGAUAACGUGGCUUAAGAGAAUUUGGAUCAACACUUGGAUGAUAAAGGCAUUCAACAAUUGCAAGUUCUAAUCAAAAAGUUGAAGUAUUGUGAUAUAAUGGAUGUUAAGUACCUUUGAACUACCCAAGAGAAAAUGAGGCAACUUCAGAGUUGUUAAGUGACUGAGCAACUUAUUGAGAAUGUCAUGAGAUAUGACAAAGAAGAUGAAGUUAAAGAUAAAAGUUCUGUACUGGAGCCUAUCUCACACAAAGAUGCACUAAAAGUAACAAUCACAUUGUAUAAUUUCUCUUGCAAUAUGAGAACAUUACACCAAAACUUUUUUAAUGCACUAAGAAAAGUUAAAGAUGAAGUUCAAAGAGACAUCACUUUCAAAAGGAAACAAGUAACAUUAGAGUCAUAUUUUACAAAAGCAUCCUAAUUGAGUCAUGUAUAUAUAUAAUUUUGAUGUGUAAGGAGAGUAUUAAUUUAUAUAUGUGUUUUCUUAAAAUGUAUUAUCUUAUAAAUUUAAUGAAUUAUUAAUUUAUCACAUUGGUCCCAAGUAGAGACAGAUCAAAAAUAUUAUUUAAUUAAGAUGAUUAAUUUAUCAAGUAUUAAUUUAUAGAAUUUAUACUAUACAUAUUAAUUUAUAGAAUUUAUACUAUACAUUUUAAUGAGGUGUCAUUGAAGCAUAUGUUAAAUUGUGUUGGUUUUAUGUAUAUGCAGUUUGAAUUUCAUCUAUUACACUACAAGUAUUGAAACUGUUCUGCUUUCAAAAGAUGGAGGGAAAAAGAAGAAAAAAGAAAGAUUGAAGUUUGAAUUUUGUUCUUCUAUCUAAAUUUCAUAGUUUUAGUCCUUUUAUCUCAAUUCUGAAGAAUUUAGCUUAUGUAUUAUUAUUAAAACUCGAUUUUAAUACAAUUGAUGACAAUGUUAAUGUCACGACCCGAAACUCCCCUCGAGCUCGUGACAACCGCCGCGGUAUCCCGAUAGGCAUUCAUCUCUCGGAAUGCUAAGUAGAAUCCCGCAAGGCUUAAUAUCAGUUUCUCAUUUUCCCCGAUGAGUAACUAUUGCCAAAUAUUAUGUUCUAAAGGAUUUUGAGCUAUUUCCAACUUAAAACUGAUAAAAUAAAAACUUUUGUCUAACAGGGGCAUUUUGGUCAUUUUCCACUAAAAAUUUCGAAACCAGUUAAAAUUAUAGUAAACGCGUACCAAUCGCAUAAUUCACAAUUAAAAAUAAGUUUAGGCAUCUAAAACCUUUAUUUAAAAUGAAAUUAUAAUUAUUUGAAUAUAAUAAGAAGAUAAAACGAAAUAUUCAAUAAAAUAUUUUAUUCUCUCAUAAACAGAAAUUUUAGAGUUAUGCGAAGAUACUUUUUGUAAAGCCCGAUCUUAUAAAAUACUAGUCAUUACAUACAUAUGAUGAUAGCAUGAUUGCAUGCUAGGAGAGUCCCGAAAAAUUUACAAAAGUCGGUAUUAUACCUAGAGGUACAACAAAGUUGAUUUAAUCCUCGAACUAAAUCAAAUAGGAAUUUUAAGGUGAGAUUAAGAGCGUCACAGUCCGAAGAUGACUUAAAAUGGUAAUUCGGAGUUCGAGAAUCAAUUUGGAGUCAAAUCAGAAUUUUCACUAUCUAGGGGCAAAAUGGUCAUUUGCCACUUGGGGACAAAAUGAGAAUUUUGGAAAAGAUUUUUUUGGCCUCAUUUGACUUAUUGGAGUAUAAUUUGACUUACUGGAGUAUGAUUUGAGGUUUAGAAGUGGAAAAUUGUAAUUUCGGUAUAAUUCAGAGUAUAGGGGUAAAAAGGUAGUUUUGCCACUCUAUGGGUAAAAUUGUAAUUUUCCACCACCAGGAUAUUUUUUCCAGCACAUGGUCUUCCUUUAUUCUGAUUUUUCACCUUUGACUAAUCAUGUGGUGGAGAUAAAAUGUUUAAAUUUUUACAAUUUUAAAAAUAGACCAAUUAAAAAAUGUCAUGUGUCAAGCUUAGGAUAUUUUAUUAUUUAACUUAAAAAUCAGCAUAAAUCAGCCCAUUAUUCUCCAAAUAUUCGGCCAAGCAAGGAAGAGAGGGAAAGAAAGGAAAAACAAACCCUAGGUGAGGAAUUUCAAGAGAAAAAGUGUGGAAAAUCANNNNNNNNNNNNNNNNNNNNNNNNNNNNNNNNNNNNNNNNNNNNNNNNNNNNNNNNNNNNNNNNNNNNNNNNNNNNNNNNNNNNNNNNNNNNNNNNNNNNNNNNNNNNNNNNNNNNNNNNNNNNNNNNNNNNNNNNNNNNNNNNNNNNNNNNNNNNNNNNNNNNNNNNNNNNNNNNNNNNNNNNNNNNNNNNNNNNNNNNNNNNNNNNNNNNNNNNNNNNNNNNNNNNNNNNNNNNNNNNNNNNNNNNNNNNNNNNNNNNNNNNNNNNNNNNNNNNNNNNNNNNNNNNNNNNNNNNNNNNNNNNNNNNNNNNNNNNNNNNNNNNNNNNNNNNNNNNNNNNNNNNNNNNNNNNNNNNNNNNNNNNNNNNNNNNNNNNNNNNNNNNNNNNNNNNNNNNNNNNNNNNNNNNNNNNNNNNNNNNNNNNNNNNNNNNNNNNNNNNNNNNNNNNNNNNNNNNNNNNNNNNNNNNNNNNNNNNNNNNNNNNNNNNNNNNNNNNNNNNNNNNNNNNNNNNNNNNNNNNNNNNNNNNNNNNNNNNNNNNNNNNNNNNNNNNNNNNNNNNNNNNNNNNNNNNNNNNNNNNNNNNNNNNNNNNNNNNNNNNNNNNNNNNNNNNNNNNNNNNNNNNNNNNNNNNNNNNNNNNNNNNNNNNNNNNNNNNNNNNNNNNNNNNNNNNNNNNNNNNNNNNNNNNNNNNNNNNNNNNNNNNNNNNNNNNNNNNNNNNNNNNNNNNNNNNNNNNNNNNNNNNNNNNNNNNNNNNNNNNNNNNNNNNNNNNNNNNNNNNNNNNNNNNNNNNNNNNNNNNNNNNNNNNNNNNNNNNNNNNNNNNNNNNNNNNNNNNNNNNNNNNNNNNNNNNNNNNNNNNNNNNNNNNNNNNNNNNNNNNNNNNNNNNNNNNNNNNNNNNNNNNNNNNNNNNNNNNNNNNNNNNNNNNNNNNNNNNNNNNNNNNNNNNNNNNNGAGAGAAAGAAAGAAAGAAAGAAAGAAAAGAAAAGAAAGGAAAAGAAAAUAACAAGGAAAAUGGGCAUGGCCCAACAAGCAAGAAAAAUAGACAUGGUCCAAUAAACGAAAAAUGGACAUGGUCCAAUUAAAAAGAAAUGGGAGAAGUCCAUAAACAAGAGUCCAAAAACACCAAAUGAAGAAAAAUUCAAAAAAAAAUGGAAGGUGGAGAUUUGGGCCAACCUAGCUUAAUUGGGUAAAAUUUCUUUACUCUUCAUCAUGAUUUAUUUUGAAAUUGGAUUGUAUGGAGGCUAAAUUAUUUUAUUUAAUUAUGCAUUGGUUAAUUGGUGAUAUGAAGUAAAUUUAAGUUGCUUAGAAGGUUGAAAUAGGCACUUAAUACCGUAAAUAAGUUACCGGUGUUAAUACUCUAAAGAAUUACGUGAACGAAUGAUGCAAUUAAUUAUAGUAAAAAUAUAUUAAGAUGUGAAUUAGGUGAGUGGAUUUAUGAUACAAUGAGAGAGAGAAAAGUAGAAUUGAUUCACUAAAUGUAUUGAAUUUAAAUGGUUGCUAGGAAAGCGUGUUGAACGAAGUAGGUGACGGGCAAUUAGGUAUAAUUAUACGAGUAUACGAAGCAAUAGCGACGUAGAAAUCCUGCUAUUGUGAGGUGAGUAACCUUACCAUCAUUUUCAUUAUCUAAAGUAUGUUUUUGAUCAAUUUUGGUGAAAUUUUAUGAAAAUGAGUUUAAAUGGUAAAUCUUGAGUUUUACAAACAAAAUGUAUCUACAUGAAAAGAUUUUAUAAAUUAUUUUAAAAUUGAAUGAUGAUUUUGAAAAAUGGAGUAAUUGGAGACCACUUGUUAUGAAUUAAAUUUAUGAUUGGAAUCGAAUGGCUUAUGACAGUAUUUGCAUGAAUGGCUGAAUUGAUAUUUGUGUUGAAAUAUAUGAAAUAUAUAUUUAGCCUUGAAAGGCUGUGAAUUGCAAUAAUAACCAUAUCAUGUUAUCGAAUUUUAUUGUAUGGUGGGAUAAUUAUUAGCUUACUGCAGUAGGUGAGUUCCGUGAACCAGUCUAUGAGAAAGGCAUGGAAACCCCGUUUAUAUGUGCUCACCUCCGUUGUAAAGGCGCUUAGGGUAGCUCCUGAGGUGAUAUUUGAGUUCACUUCACGCCAAACCACCACGUGAAGGGGAACUCAGCCAACGCCAAGGAACGGUUGUGUUUUCUCAAACUAUAAAUAUGUUUUACGUGUAUAUGAAAUUUUUAACAGCCUUGGCGGGCUCGAGUAUACACCUCUGAUCAAGGUGUCAUCGAGUACUAUUUGAUGGCAUGAGCCAAAUGUUUAUGAAAGUCAUAAGCCUUAAUGAGAAAUUAAAUGAAAUACAACCGUUUGCAUGGGUUGGGAUGAAUUUUCAAAUUUGUAAAAUACGUAUUGUGAUGGGAUAUUUUAAUUGUCUCCUUUUACUCGGCUUUAGCUGAUUUAAAUGGUGUUUGUUUACUCAUUGAGAUUUUAUAAUCUCACCACCCUCGUUUCCACUCAUUUCAAGCUCAGAGUAAGCUGUAGAUAACUGAUUCCAUCGAGGGCUUCUAUUGGAUUAACGUCUUCCACACAGUAGGUUCACAGUUUUUUUAAUUCUUUUUAUUGUGGGCCCACUUGAUAUUGUAAAUUUAAUAGUUUAUUGUGCUACAAUAUGAUGAAUUUAUUUUGUUUUUACGUUUUAAAAAGUAUUACGUAUAACUUUAAAAUUACUGUUUAUAAGAAAAUAAAAUAUUUUAUUUUAUAUUUUGUUUUAUCUUCUUAUUAUAUUCAAAUAAUUAUAAUUUCAUUUUAAAUAAAGGUUUUAGAUGCCUAAACUUAUUUUUAAUUAUGAAUUAUGUGAUUGGUACUUGUUUACUACAUUUUUAACUGGUUUUGAAAUUUUCAGUGAAAAAUGACCAAAAUGCCCCUAUGAGACAAAAACAUUUAUUUUAUCAGUUUUAAGUUAGAAAUAGUUCAAUAUCCUUUAAAACAUAAUAUUUGGCAAUAUUUACUCACCGGGGAAAACGAGAAACUGAUAUUAAGCCUUGCGGGGUUCCGGUUGGCAUUUCGGGAGAUGAAUGCCCAUCGGGGCACCGUUGCGGUUGUCACGGGCUCGAGGGAAGUUUUGGGUCGUAACAGAUCAUAUUAAAGCAUAUAAAUAUAUAUAUAUAUAUAUAUAUACACACACACACACACACGAGUCACUCCAACACCACUACAUUCUAUCAUCACAUAUAAAAUAUUUCAGUUUGAAACAUUAUGACUGUAAUUAAAAAAACAUUACAAGAGCAAUAGCUUCACAGAAUGAGUAAACAAAAACAAUGUCUCCAAUAAAUUUCUUCAAGCUAUCAAUUUCAAAUAAAAUGUGUCACUUAUCUCAAAUAUAGACAGCAAAACUGAAAAUGGCAAGAAUUGGAUAUUGAAGAGUAACAACACAAUUGAAAUGCUAUUUUUAUUCACUUAGCAUACACAAUUUUAAACUUUGUAAACCAUAAGAGGGCACCAUAGGAUUUGAAUCCAACUUUUUAAAUAAAGAACACAAACACUUACCAAAAAAUGAAAUAUUCAAAUGCACAUUACAACACAACUUAGGUUUAAUUAAUACUACAUUCACGCAAGGCUAUUAAAGCGUGCACAACAUUGGCUAAAAUGCUAAUGGCAGAGAUGAGAGGAUCAAAACGAUAUCCGCAAAGGAUUUCACCUCAGUCCUGCUUUUAUGACCUUUUCAACCUAGAAAUAAAGAAGAAAGGAUAUAAAUGCAAAUUAAACUUAUAAGAAAUGAUCCUGGAUCUUACUUUUCGAGAUAAAAUAGAAUUAGUUAAAGUCCAAUUUUAGUCAUGUAUAAAAGUUGUGGGGACAAGGAAUUAUAAAGACUAGUGAUUACCUGUUGAUCCAUCAAUCGUAUCUUUAUUGUAUCUUUUUCUUUUCUUGCUAGGCUGUUCCACUAUUGGGUCCAAGUCCUCCAAAUCACUUGGAUACACUAAUCGAGCCCCACACUUGUUCACCUUGUUACCAAUGCCAGAGGUAUCGAAUAAAAACUCAAUUCCCAUACAACUCUGUAUCCAAUCUCUGCUCUGUAAAUUCCCAAAUUGGUCAUGAAGCAAAUAUUCAACAGGCAAAUACCAUAGCCAGAGGUGGUCCUUGGAGGUCUGGGUAUUAAAAGCUAUAGUAUCAGUACGUGACUCAACUGUAAGAUCUUCAAAAUGGAUUCUAGUAAUACAUGGAAUUUCUUCCUCCGUCCAAUCAACAUUAUUAGAGGCAGGCACAAGAACACAACACAAGGCAACUCCUAUCCACUGAAUAUCAUUCUGUAAAAUGGGUAUCAUUAUUGAACAUUUCUCACUCUGGUGACUAAACCAUUCAAAAAUUUCGCUUCCAGGUAUAACAAUGUCUAAACGUAUUCUUGCAUUCGCAUAUGUCUGCAAAACAAAACUCCGUUAUUGGGUAAUUAGUUGAGGAUUAAAUACACACUUUGCAAUAGAAUUAUGUUGAAAACUUUCAAUGCUUGAAGUUUGAAAUUCUUAGUUAGAUGCUCAAACUUUUAUUCAAUUAGUGGGUUUCGACAGUUUGAUUGAUACUGUUAGUCAAAUAGAUGACGUGAGCAAAGCAAGGAGUAAGAAUGCAUCACAUGUUUAAAAAAUAACAUCAUUUUACUUUUUCAUAGUUUUUGUAAAAAAUAGUUAUUUCAAAAAUUAAAAAUAAAAAAUUAAGAAAAAAAAAAGAAAAAUAUGUUUUGUGCUAAAAAACUUCACUUUUGAAAUUAAAAAUAUUUUUUUUUGAAAAUUUAAUAUAUUAAAAAAUUCUAAUUUUCUUAAAAAUUUUAUCUUUGAAAUUUAAAAUAAAAAAUUUUAAAAAUAUAUAAAACAAAUUAUUCUUGAAAUCAAAAAUAAAAAAUUUGGGGGGAAAGAGAGAAAAAGAGGGGGCAAAUUAGUGUCAAUCCAGCCAGCGAGAGCUACAUUGACGCCUUCCCUCUAUUUCGUCCCUCCCCUCUUUUUCCCUAUCUCCCUCAUCAAUCCCCCACUUUUCUCUCUCUCUCUGAGUUUUUUCCUUUUUUGUUUUUAUCUUAAUUUGUCAUUUUCCAGAUUUUUAAAAUUUUAUUUUAAUAUUAAAAAUAAAAAUAUAAAAAAAAAGACAAAAAAUAAAAACAAAAGAUGAUGUGUCACAUUAAUAUUUUUUAUUAGUUAUUUUUUUGUCACAUCAUUAAUUUAACUAACAUUUUUAAUUGAGUAUUUAAUUGUUAAUUUUUAAAUUUUGAGUAUGAAAUUGACAAUUUUACUGUAGUUCGGAUAACAAAUAUGUAAUUAAUCCAUUAAUUUACUACUAUAGAUUCUUGAAAGUGAGAGUAAGAGAGUUGGAGAAAUAUACCUUAAGAUAUCCCUUUAGCAUUCUUAGUGCAUUAUUGUUCGCAGCGAAUUUGAAGCAAUUAACACCAUAAAACCAUGUCACCCACGAUGGAUUAUGUGGAUUUGUCGGAUUUGGAACUCUUUGCAAUGAAGUGCAACCAUCUAACAUUAGGCCUUGUACACUUGAUGGAAGCUGAGGCAAUGUUUCAAGCUUACUACAACCCAUCAAUUGGAGACAAUAAAGCUUGGUAAGUUGACUAAGAUUCGCAGGUAGGCUGACGAAAUUGUUAUGACUAAGAAUCAGUUCUUCUAAUGAGGAUAAGCAACAUAUAUCACUAGGAAGAUCCCCUUCACAAAGAUUCAUGCCGCUUAUAUUCAACUCUCUUAAAGAACUCAAGCUUGAUAAACAAGGUAACGUCAGAGCCAUGAAAUUCGAACCUUUUUUUAAAAGCAUGGGAUUCAAACUUGAUAGUAGUACUUCGCAUCCCUUCUUAUAUAUCCUUUGUAGGAAGGAUGGUGGUGAAUUUUCAAGUACAGAGCAGCCCGAGAGAUUAAGAACUUUUAGGCUGCUGAGAUUUCCAACUGAAGAAGGAAGUUCUUCCAUGCUUGUGCCAUCUAAAUGGAGGUCCCGCAAAUGUUUCAUUUUCCCGGUAAUCUCUGAAAUCCUUUUAAGAUUCUUGCAGCCUGAAAGAAUCAAUGUUUCAAGAGACUCCAUUUCAUUAUUGAUUGAGAAACUCCUAAGACUUACACAGUUUUAAUUAAUACUACAUUCACGCAAGGCUAUUAAAGCGUGCACAACAUUGGCUAAAAUGCUAAUGGCAAAGAUGAGAAGAUCUUUGCUAAUGGCAAAGAUCAGUCAUGGGAAGUGUAUAGUGUCAGAUUUUUCUAGGUAGAUAUGAGAAAGAUUUGGGGAAUAUACCUGCUUUUUGUGCCCAGGUAUAGCCCACAAAUCACUGGUUCUUUACUGAUGUUUUUUGAAGGGGAUUAUUCCACCCUUCUUUGCAAUGAAACUACAAUCUUUCAAAAAAAAAUGAUAUCCGCAAAGGAUUUCACCUCAGUCCUGCUUUUAUGACCUUUUCAACCAAGAAAAUAAAUAAGAAAGGAUAUAAAUGCAAAUUAAACUUAUAAGAGAUGAUCCUGGAUCUUACUUUUUGAGAUAAAAUAGAAUUAGUUAAAGUCCAAUUUUAGUCAUGUAUAAAAGUUGUGGGAACAAGGAAUUAUAAGGACUAGUGAUUACCUGUUGAUCCAUCAAUCGUAUCUUUAUUGUAUCUUUUUCUUUUCUUGCUAGGCUGCUCCACUAUUGGGUCCAAGUCCUCCAAAUCACUUGGAUACACUAAUCGAGCCCCACACUUGUUCACCUUGUUACCCAUGCCAUCGAUAUCGAAUAAAAACUCGAUUCCAAUACAACUCUGUAUCCAAUCUCUGCUCUGCAAAUUCCCAAAUUGGUCAUGAAGCAAUUUUUCAACAGGCAAAUACCAUAGGCAGAGGUGGUCCUUGGAGGUCUGGGUAUUAAAACCUAUCCAAUGAGUACAUGACUUAAAUGUAAGAUCUUCAAAAUGGAUUGUAACACGACAUGUAAUGUCUUCUUCCGUCCAAUCAACAUUAUUGGAGGCGGGCACGACAACACAGCACAAGGCAAAUCCCAUCCACUGAACAUCAUUCUGUAAAAUGGGUAUCAUUAUUGAACAUUUCUCACUCUGGUGAUUAAACCAUUCAAAAAUUUCACUUCCAGGUAUAACGAUGUCAACACGUGUUCCUGCAUUCGCAAAUGUCUGCAAAACAAAAUCCCGUCAUUGGGUAAUUAGUUUAGGAUUAAAUACACAUUUUGCAAUAGAAUUAUGUUGAAAACUUUCAAUGCUUGAAGUUUGAAAUUCUUAAUUAGAUGCUCAAACUUUAGUUCAAUUAGUGGAUUUUGACAGUUUGAUUGAUACUGUUAGUCAAAUGGAUGACGUGAGCAAAGCAAGGAGUAAGAAUGCAUCAAAUGUCUAAAAAAUAACAUCAUUUUACUUUUUCAUAUUUUUUGUAAAAAUAGUUAUUUCAAAAAUUGAAAAUAAAAAAUUAGAAAAGAAAAUAAAAAUAUGUUUUUUGCUAAAAAACUUCACUUUUAAAAUUAAAAAUAAUUUUUUUGGAAAAUUCAAUAUAUUAAAAAAUUAUAAUUUUCUUAAAAAUGUUAUCUUUGAAAUUUAAAAUAAAAAAUUUUAAAAAUAUAUAAAACAAAUUAUUCUUGAAAUCAAAAAUAAAAAAUUGGGGGGAAAGAGAGAAAGGGAGGGGGCAAAUUAGUGCCAAUCCAACCAGCGCAAGCUACAUUGACGCCUUCCCUUUAUUUCCUCCCUCCCCUUUUCUUCCCUAUCUCCCUCAUCAAUCCCCUUCUUUUCUCUCUCUGAUUUUUUUUCCUUUUUUGUUUUUUUCUUAAUUUGUCGUUUUCUAGAUUUUUAAAAUUUUUAUUUUAAUAUUAAAAAUAAAAAUAUAAGAAAAAACGAGAAAUAAAAACAAAAGAUGAUGUGUCACAUUAACAUUUUUUAUUAGUUAUUUUUUUGUCACAUCACUAAUUUAACUAACAUUUUUAAUUGAGUAUCUAAUUGUUAAUUUUUAAAUUUUAAGCAUGAAAUCGACAAUUUUACUAUAGUUCGGAUAAUAAAUAUGUAAUUAAUCCAUUUAUUUACUACUAUAGAUUUUUUAAAGUGAGAGUAAGAGAGUUGGAGAAAUAUACCUUAAGAUAUCCUUUUAGCAUUCUUAGUGCAUUAUUAUUCGCAGCCAAUUUGAAGCAAUUAACACCAUAAAACCAUGUCACCCAUGAUGGAUUAUGUGGAUUUGUCAGAUUUGGAACUCUUUGCAAUGAAGUGCAACCAUCUAGCAUUAGGCCUUGUACACUUGAUGGAAGCUGAGGCAAUGUUUCAAGCUUACUACAACCCAUCAAUUGGAGACAAUAAAGCUUGGUAAGUUGACUAAGAUUCGCAGGUAGGCUGACGAAAUUGUUAUGAUUAAGAAUCAGUUCUUCUAAUGAGGAUAAGCAACAUAUAUCACCAGGAAGAUCCCCUUCACAAAGAUUCAUGCCGCUUAUAUUCAACUCUCUUAAAGAACUCAAGCUUGAUAAACAAGGUAACGUCAGAGCCAUGAAAUUCGAACCUUUUUUUAAAAGCAUGGGAUUCAAACUUGAUAGUAGUACUUCGCAUCCCUUUUUAUAUAUCCUCUGUAGGAAGGAUGGUGGUGAAUUUUCAAGUACAGAGCAGCCCGAGAGAUUAAGAAC
Molecule: long non-coding RNA, 56252 nt
Filed under: Theobroma cacao (cacao)
Lineage: Eukaryota; Viridiplantae; Streptophyta; Magnoliopsida; Malvales; Malvaceae
Description: long non-coding RNA (TCAC_LNC003652)
Source: RNAcentral